This 58403-nucleotide long non-coding RNA is filed under the name Ananas comosus (pineapple). Its description in RNAcentral is "long non-coding RNA (ACOM_LNC017108)". The record is from RNAcentral. Lineage: Eukaryota; Viridiplantae; Streptophyta; Magnoliopsida; Poales; Bromeliaceae.
AACUAGUAGUAUGUUGUUUUAGUUGUAGGAUUUUUUUUUUUUUGAUAGAUAGGUACGUAGCAUGCUAUCUGUUUCGUUUAUUUUAUUUAAAAAUAAAUUUUGCUGGAAAUGUGAAUCAACUAGGAUUCGAACGGGAGACUUCGGAUAUCGACCGCUAAGCUCUUUGCCGUUUGCGUUAGGGACGGUCGGUAGUUGUAUGAUAUUUAGGAGUUGAUACUGAGGUUGGAGAUUGAGCUACUGUGUGUGCUCAAAUUUAGAGAGAGAGAGAGAGAGAGAGAGAGAGAGAGAGAGAGAGAGAGAGAGAGAGAGAGAGCAAAUCAAUGGUAUCUAGUUUAGUGAUAAGGUGUAUAGUAGGUGAUAUCAAGGUCAAAGAUCUAGCUGCUAUGUGUACUUAAAUUUGGAGCUCGUAUUCCUGGCUUCAGUUUUUUUUUUUUUUUUUUUUUUUUUUUUGAAAAGAACACCAUAAGGCAUUUAUUCCAUAGGAUAAACAGUUACAGACUUCUCAAACUCUACGAAAGAAGACCAACUUGAAGCUACCUGGGAACCAAGGCCCCAUUUAACUAGUUUAUCAACACAUUGUGAAAAAGAACUAUAUCUAGAAGACCACCCUAUAAGAAUAUUAUUAUUGGACUCCAAAAGGCGUCGAAGCGAAGCAAUACGCUCUAAUUCUUGUAGUGAAAACAUGAUGCAUGUGCUUGUCCUUAAACAAACAGGAACGAUUAUUUAGAAGAUUCGUGUAAAUUGAGCACUUGAUAUUAGGCCGAUUAAUUAUUUAGAAGCCACUUAACCGCCUCAGUACAUGCUUGUAUCUCUACAGCAAGAGUAGUUUCUGAAUCGAUAGAAGAUGCUGCGCAACAAUAAACGACCACAUCCCCUUCUACAAUUAAAUAUCCAAUUCCACCCGAGCGAUUUUCCUUCCAAGCACCAUCCACCCAACAGAUGGUAUUUGGUCGUGAAAAAGAAUUGAUAGUGGCCGGAUCAGGAAUAUGGAGAGGCUGAAGGUGAGCUUUGCUAUAGAGCUUCGUCCAUAUUCUCGCAUUCCUCAAAACUUCCAAACACGAAAAUUUCUUGUGCUAAAAAAUAUAAUCAUUUCGUGCCUAAUUCCAAAUGGACCACAACACAUGCAUGCAGAGAGAGAGAGAGAGAGAGAGAGAGAGAGAGAGAGCAAACCACUGAUAUCUAGUCUAGUGGUAAGGUACUUAGAAUUUGAUAUCAAGGUCGAAGAUCGAGUUGCUAUGUGUCCUUAAAUUUGGAGAUGCUACAUAUUCCUAGCUUCUGUCUCAGUGUGUGUGUGUGUGUGUGUGUGAGAGAGAGAGAGAGAGAGAGAGAGAGAGAGAGAGAGAGAGAUGUAGCUUAGUUUGGGUUAGCCAACCAAGCCAACCUAUCUUAAGCUAUAUUCAAAUGUAAGACCCUUUUCCUCAAUUGGGUCAUCCUCAUUGACCACUCCACUAAACUCAAGAAAAGAAGUUUAAGUUAUUGACAAAUUGCAUAAUUUUUAAUCUAAAAAGAAUGAGAGGGAAUUAUUUGAAGGGGAGGCAAGAUAAAAUGAGGUUUUGUGGAGCUAGAGAACAUCUUAUUUUCUAAUUAUCAUGAUUCUAUUCUAAGGUUUGUUUUAGAGGUAUGGGUCAGUUUGGGGGCAGAUUUUCAAAAAUCCGAAAUUCAAACCGGAGUACCAAAAUCAAAAUUCGAACACAAAUUCGAUUUUGAAUCUGUCAGAUUAUGAAAAUUCAUAUCCAAAUCUAGACCCGACAAUAAAAAUGAAAGCCCAAACUGAACCCAAACAUUCGAACCCAAAAGUGAUUAUUAUUUUUUUAUCAAAUUUCAAAAUAUAUCACAUUCAAAUCUAAAAUUUUAAAAUACAAUUUAAUUAUGUUAUAUAUUAUAUAAUAUAAAAGUGAUUGGGAUUUUUGUUCAGUUUUGGUUCUGGUUCAAAUUUGGAUUUAGGUUUAGGUUCAGGUUCAAGUUCAGAUCGAGUACCGAUGAAAAUCAUAUCCAAACUUGAAUCCAUCAGAAUUUUUCUUCUUUUUUUACUACCCAUAGUCGAAUCCGUACCCGUUUAUCAUCAUAUAAAUUCAUCCUGCUCAAAUUCGGGUUCAGAUUAUUGGGUUCAAGUUUUCGGGUUCGGCUUGGGGUUUCAAUUUUUCGUCGAACUCCAGAUUCUAUGCUUAUUUCCAAUCAGCAAUUUAACUUAUAAGCAAGCUUAGCUAUUCUAGCAAUAAAUAUACACAUAUAAUUAAAACCAUCAUUAAUAACUUAUAUAUGCAAAACUAGCUUGUCAUAUUCAUACUUUUGUUGAUACUCAAAGAACCCAAGACCACUAGAUAAGGGACAAAUUAAUUAGGCAAGAGAUGGAGACCCCCACCAAUAUUAAUUUCUCUUCUAAGCAAAGCAGUACAUGCUUGGAAAAAUUUCCAUAUUGCAUGAAUCAAGUUAAUUAGCUUAGGUCUAAACAGGAAUAGGGAGUCUCUGAUUCGCUGCCACGUGGCAAGAAAUUAAGAUUUCUUAACGAGAUGUUGUUGGGAAGCUAUUUACUGAAGUUUUUUCCGUCUGAAUAGUAUAGUCUCUAUGCAAAUUUGAAAAUGCAAAACAAAUUUGGCAAAUGUGUUAAAUCUAUAGCCUAAAACAAUGGCAUUAAAUUUGUCACACUUUGCAAGGAAGGAUUGGUUUAGAGGUUUGCCUACCACUAGUAUCUUAAUAUCUUAUAGGUAAAAAUGUCUGUAGAUCCCAUCAACUAUAGGCGCUCCUGAAAUAGACCCCUCAGAAAUUUUUUUUUUUUUUUUUUUUGGAUUGAGACUUCAUCAAGUUCAAUUUUUUUUAUUGACUAAAAUUGACUUUUGCUUCUCAAACUAUGAGGGGCUGAUAUCUUAGAUGCCAACUUUAAUUUCACUACAACAAAAACGGUCUAUAGCGAUAUUUUUAAAUGUAGGUACAUGUCAAAAAAGUGCUGCUAGCUAAAAUUACCGACACUUUUAAAAAGUGUUGCUAUAUGUGGGGUCGCUAGGUAUAUAGUGACAGUUAAAGAGUGUCGCUAUAACCUAAAAGAGUGCUACUAAUUUACCAACACUUAUUUAAGUAUUUAGCAACCGCCGAAACUCUAUCUCGUUGGCUGCGGUGGCGGAGGAGGACGACAGGAAAGGCUCUUCGUCUAGAAUUUCAGUGGAUUGAGUGAAGAGAAAAGAAAAGAUGGUAAUUGAUUUUUCUUUUUUUUUUUCUUUUCUGUUUGUAAUCGUGCCAAAUGCACGGGGUGUGAUGGGUUGAGUAGAGUAAUCUUUUAUUUUUGGUUGGAUUGGGCUUUAUAUUUAGCCAUUAGUAGAUAUUUUUUUAAGUUUUAGGAUAAAUGGGCACUUACUCAAAAGUGUCCCAAACAUGUGUCCCUAUAACCUAAUUCUGUUGUAGUGUUUAUUGUAAUUUUAGUUUGAAUUUUAUAAAUUAUUGUAAUAAUUUUUCAUAGCUUUGAUUAAAUAUUGAUAUAUUGGUCAUUGCCUCGUCAUUAACCAUAGUACGAGACAUUACUAUCGGUGACAUAUCAUCGUUUGGUCAAACUUAUUAGACUAUGGGGCUUGAUUACAAUAAUUUAAAAAGUUUGAACAAAAAUUACAACAGAUUAAAGCUAUAGAACAUCUCAAAUAAUCCAAAAUAGGUGUAAAUCUUACACCUUUCAAAUCUAAGUGUCCAAAAUUUUUUAUUUUUUAAUACUAAAACUUAAGGGCUUGUGAACUCUAACUAGGAUGGGGGGUGUAAAUAAUGCGCCCACCUUAAUUUGGGGUGUACAAGUAGUAUUAACCUAAUAUCUUAUAAGUAAAAAAGCGUUUGAAAUAGCCCCUUAACCUUUUUUUUUUUCUGGAUUACGAGUCCCUCAACUUUAGUAUUUUUCAUCAGCUAACUUGCAUUUUUGGCCCUCAAACUAGUUGACACAUGACAUUUUAGUCUUCAUAUUUUAAUAUGUUACAAUUUCUGAUUUAAACUAUCUAAGUUGUUGCAAUAAAAUGUUACGUACAUUCCAAUUUUACUGGUUAAACAUCAAUGUUUUGCUAAUGUGGUAGUGAUAUGACGUGUCAGUCAUUUUCAGAUCAUCAAUCACAGCGGUGCCACUUUGUUGCUAUAUUGGCGAUACAUCAUCAUUCAGUAGACAUUUACACUUAAUUUUAACAAUCUAGAAAGUAAGGGUCACAAAAAUCUUAGGUCUAAAUGGUGUCAUUUCUUUGAAGAUUUCAAAUGCAAUACAAAUUUGGCACUUGUGUCGAGCCUAGCCUAGCACAUGUGGCAUUAAAUUUGUGACCCUUCAAGUAAGGAUUGGGUUAGGGGAACAUCUAUCACCAGUAUCCUAAUAUCUUAUAGGUACAAAUGCCUGGAGACACCCUCAACUAUAGGUUGUUUUGAACUAGCCCCCUCAGCUAUUUUUUUAUUGACUAAAUUGCAUUUUUGGUUCUCUAUGUGGCAGGUAACACUUUAGUCAUCAAAUUUAAUUUGUCACAAUUUCUAGCUCAAACUUUGUAAAUUAUUGCAAUAAUAUUUCAUAGUCUAAUUUAGUCGACUUAAUAUUGAUAUAUCGCUUAUAAUAAUAUGGCAUCUUAGUCACUACCAAAUUAUCAACUAUAAUACUGUUACAUCAUUACUACAUCAGCAACACAUCACCAUUCGGUCAAACUACUUAGAAUGUGAGACUUGAUUACAACAAGCCAGAAAAUUUGAUAAAAAAUAAUAAUAAAUCAAAAUUUGAAGACCAAAAUGUCACUUGUCUUAUAGUUUGAGGACCAAAAGUGCAAUUUAGCAUUUUUCAUUUUGAUGCUUUAUAUUUAAUUAAGUCAACAAUUGUAUCACAUUUGUUGACUCUAUUAGUUAUCAACCAUUAAUUGAUCUAGCUUUAUUUGCUAAAAGUGAUUGAAAUUAUUAAAUUUGGUGAAAUUAUUAAUAAAUUUGACAAAAUCCCCUUUUGACUAAAAUUAUUUAAUUAUAGAAAAUUAAAAGUUUAGAGGAUCUCAAUCAAAAAAAAAUUGAGGGGGCUAGUUUAGAAUAGUCUAUAGGUGAGGGGUUCUCUAUAUAUUUUCACCUAUCUUAUAUUUCACUUAAUAAUUAAUUAAAAUCUCAGCUUUUAGGCCCAAUUCUCUUCUCAGAGUUUGCUUUAUCAUGUGAAUUUUCAUAAUCAACUCCAAUUUUGCCUCAAAUUUAAUUUGAUCCCCUCUAUGUUCAACCAAAUAGUUCAUUUUAAAUUCGAAUCGAAAUUAACCGUCGCAUCGAUAAAAUUCAUAUGAGAUCGAAGAUACGAAACUAGAUAUGUAACAUGUUCUACGCAAACUUAAACAAUAUUUUUAUUUUAUUGCACCUAAACUCUUUUUUAGACAAUAUUUUUGACCAUUUAUGCAUAAUGUUCAUAUAUAGUUUUAUUUAUUUAUUUAUUUUUUAGAAUGUCCAGGUAAUUUUUAUCUUUUUUAAAAUUCAACCGAGUUCGAAACUUUUUAAUUCCCUCUCAUUAUAUUAGGAGCAAUGUCAGUUAAAAUAUAAUAAUAGUAAUAAUAAUAAUAAUUACCCUUGUGCAUUUUGAAUUCGAAUUGUAACACACCAUAGGCACACUUGAGAUAAAUCAUUGUUGCUUUAAUUGAUAAUUUAUGCUUGCCUCUCUUACCGCUCCUCCGCUCGUUGUGCAACACAUGCUUCGAAAACUCACAAAUAUCAGUUCUUCUGAACUGGUAACAUUUGUUGGAGAGCCGAACAAUGUCGCUGCCGAGGGAGAGGCUUGAGGUAGGCGAAACCAGCAGUAUCAGGAUUGAUGGAGGACGACAGGGAGCCUUAACUUCUUGUAGGCGCGAGACGGCGUGGAGUCGCGUCGGGAAAGGGAAAAAAAUCUCGAAGCGGAUUGUCUGGGCAGAUGAGGUUGGUGGAGAUUUAUUGAAGUUUAGCAGUUGCAAUGAAGACGGAGAGGGAUCCUUACCUGGAUCUGGCAUGGGCUACACUCGAGAGCUAAAGGAGACCUUAAUUGAUGGACAUCAACGGAGCAAGUCUAGGUGCUCAUCCGGAGAGCUGCGAAGCAAGGUGACGGGACGGGGGGAAGGUGUGAGCACUAAUUGUUCCACUCUGAACAGAGGCUCUUUUAAGGACGUGCUGCUGCGGAGGUCGUCACUCACCCCUCCUGCACCCUACCUUCUUCAACCUCACCUUCACGCUCCUCCCCCUCGGGGUUCCACCCGGGGCCGAACUCCUCCCCGCAGAUCUGAGAAGAGGUGCUUCCGCUGCCUUGCAAGUGACCAUUUUGUGGCGACGUGCCGCGAUCCGGUCCAGUGCUUCAGGUGCGGAAAGACCGGCCACCGAGCGCACUUCUGCAAAGGAAAAUCUUGUGCGAACGCCCGCACAAUGAAUAGAGCUGCGAACCUCAGGGACCGACCUCUAGUGGCCAAGGUCUUUGCCCCUUACACUGACGAGUAUCUGCGGAGAGUGGAGCUACGCCGUAACGCCAUCCUCGCGGAUGUCAUUCAGCCGGCUAACCUUGGCGCGAACCCAAUUUCAACCAUCAAGACUGCUCUCGCAAGCCGUUUCGGAGGCUACAAGGAGGAUUUCGCCGUUGCGCGCUACAGAGAGAGGGACUUUGCUAUUUUCUUGCCCGAAUGGGUUCCUGCUGCUGUUCUUAUCAGAAGACAAGUUCUUACGCUCAACGAUUUCUGGAUCCGGUGUUGGCCAUGGGGUCGCUACCGAGACGCUCGACCCCAUCGCGUUCAAUAUACAAAGCGUGGAUCCGCCUUAUUAACCUCCCCUUCGAAAUCUGGUUUGUAGCUCGCGUGGCGGCGCUGAUAAGCGGCUUCGGGCGUUUCAUCAAAGCCGACGACGAGACUAAGGCAAUGACAAACUUUCGUGCCUUCCGGUGCCAGAUUGCACUCGACUCGAUCUACAACAUUCCUCAAAACCUCUCAGUGAUCAUCGGCGAGGAGCUUUUCCCUGUGAUGGUCCACUUGGAGAGGUGGGAACGAACAGUGGAAGGCGGAGCCGCAACACCACUAGCACCUCCACGCAACGGCGGUGGCAAUGCCGAGGAAGGAGCAGACGACCAAAACCAACCUCAGCAUGAAGACUUUGGCGAAGCACACGAUCAAGAGGAAGACGACAUGGCGGAAGCCCCAGGCGAGCUGGAGGAUGUUGAUCCACCUCCACAGACACACAGGGCUCUGUGGGGGACACCGGGCACGCGUACCUCGACGGCCCACCAGACUCGUUUGGCGGCGACGCUCUGAGCAACUCGCGGGCAACGGUGCUGGGUUCCAACGGGUCGGAGAGGCACGGACCUCGAGGCGGUUUGGGCGUUGGGCUCGAGGCCGGCUAAGUCUCGUUUGAACUUGGUAAGGGGGCAGAGUAUGACUAGGCCUCCCAGCCUAGAGAGGAAGCAUGAUGCUGUUGGGACUCCCGAUGUUGUGAAUACACCCCAGGGUCAACUCUCGGGCUUGGAGCCAAAAAUGCUUAUUUUGGUUUCUUGCUGGUCACCGAUAGUUCUAUCUCUCCUGAAACUUUCGGAAGGCAGCCAGCUUGGACUUCCUCUUCUGCUGGUUAAUGGGCCCACUCCACCUUUACUGCGUGGCCCACUUCAUCUCCAACCUGCUCGACUUUGGGAGGGACUCGGACUGAACUUCUCGCGCUUGGCGCGGCCCGAUCACUCGAUCAGGGUCACCCGGGCCUUUUACCACGGGCUCCUGGGGGGGGUUUUCGGGUCGGCCACCACCCCUGUCCAGUCCUUCCUUCUUGGAGGAGUCGGAGGAGCCAUGCCCGACUUCGGCCCCACACUUCCACACGAGCUGAUUGACGAGGUCCUUACCAUCUCUGAAGCCAUCACCGAUCAACCUUCUCUGGACUCUCUACUCCCUGGAGCCACCACCGACCUACCCGCUUCCUCCCCUCUCCUCCUGGCUGGCAGCCAAGCAGACCUGGGCACCGCCACUUGCUGCCUGCUCGAACCCGACUUGGCCGAGCACGAGGCACCAAAAAGAGUGGUAGAUGCAAUGGGCCCUAGUAAGAGUAGCAACACGCCGGUUGCCCUCGUUGUCGCGCCACUCGGAUUCACCGGAUCUGACAUCCCGACUGAAGCUGCUCCGGCGCGACACGACUCCAGGUUGCCAGAUGCUGCACUCCCCACCAUCGACUUCUCGGGCCCACGCAGGUCAAGCACCAGGCUCGCGAACGUGAAUUCGGAUUCUACCAUCUGUAGGGCCAUGCGCAGAAAAGAAAAACUUCUCGAGGGUGCACCCCCUGGUCCCAAGACCAAAGCUCGCAAAUUGACCAGGAAGAGAGUAAAGUCGAAGAGCCUCCUGUGUGGAGUGGAUCUCUCCUACUCUGAAGCCGCGGAGCUUCGCAGGUUCUUACAUGUCAGUGCGUAGCGCGUAGUUUCUGGCCCCUACCGAUGCCUGUGUCGCCUUUUUGGUGUUUUUGGUGUGUGAUGUUUGCUGAUGUUUAACAUUUUGUGUUGGAAUGUCCGCGGUCUCAACGACCCUACUAAGCGUCGAUGCGUAAGGACGGUAGUCUCUACUUACUUCAGCUCUGUGGUCUGUAUCCAAGAAUCCAAAGUAGAUUCUAUGUCUAGGUCUUUCCUCCGCUCUUGUUGCGGAUCCAGCUUUGACAGGUGUCAGUUUGUUCCUGCAACCGGAGCUUCCGGGGGUUUAAUUACUUGUUGGAGUUCUAGAUACUUCUCGUGUGAUACAGUUCUAACUAGAAAGUUCUCGCUCACUCUACACCUUACUUAUCUUGCAAGCGGAAAAUCCUUCUUUAUCAUGAAUGUCUACGGGCCUCCAACUUGGGAAGGCAAAGAUGAGUUCUGUUCCGAACUACUCUCCCUCGGUAGUUCCUGCUCUUCAGAUUGGGUAAUCUGCGGCGACUUCAACUUCACUAAGAACCAAUCUGAGAGGAAAGGAAAACCGUGAAGCGCCAAAGCUAUGACCAUGUUCUCCGACCUCAUCAAUAACCUUGCAGUUAUGGACUUACCUUUGUCCAACCAAAACUUCACCUAGUCUAACAUGCAACAAUGCCCCACCCUGGCCAAGCUCGACAGGUUCCUCAUCUCGACGGAAUGGGAUCAAUCUUUCCCCUUCAGCAAGGUCCAAGCUCUACCCAAGAUCACUUCUGACCAUAACCCGAUCCUGCUUACAACGAGGCCGCCAACCGCCCGACGAAGGUUUCGUUUUGAGAGGGUUUGGCUAACAAGGGAGGACUUUACUUCAAAAGUGCCUCUCUGGUGGAACGAAACUGGCGGUCAGCGCUCUGCCAUCCUAUCCAUCUCUGCUAAGCUUCGACACUGUAGGGUCCGGAUAAAAGAAUGGUGCAAGACGCACUUUCAUAGUAUCACCAAUGCCAAAAAUCAACUGCAAUCUGAAAUCCAAGCCAUCGACCAACUUGAGGAAUUGCAGGACCUACCUAAGGAAUCUUUGGACAAGCGGGCAGAACUCAAGUCAAAUCUCUUACACAUACUUGAAGAGGAAGAAAUCUUAUGGAACACUAGGGCCAAACAGCGAUGGUUAAAGGAAGGCGAUGGAAAUACCAAAUUCUUCCACGCCUUCGCCAAUGGCCGAAAGCGCUCUAAUACAAUUAUCGCAAUCGAGGAUGACUCCGGCCAGCAGAUAACCAAUGAAGAGCUUAAGAGGUCGUACUUCUACCAAGCCUUUAAGCGAAUGUUCGGGAACCAAGUGGAUGGACCUUCGUCUUUCGGUGACUGGAGCGGCCUUUACCACUCAAACAAACUACUUGACCCUGACUCCCUAACGACACCCUUUACCCCUGAGGAAGUCAAGAUCGCCACGUUCCAACUAGGCAGUGACAAGGCGCCCGGGCCGGACGGCUUUCUACUCAUCUUCUUCCAAACCUUCUGGGACGUGGUCAAGGACGACAUUUUCAAGGUCUUCUCUGAGCUUCACGAUGGCACUCUAUUCACGGGCCCGAUAGAUUAUUCCUUCGUCUGCCUCAUCCCUAAAAAGGAGGGGGCACGCAAAGCAAGAGAUUUCCAACCCAUAAGCCUCAUCAAUGGAAUCAAGAAAAUUAUCUCUAAGGUCUUGGCCAACAGAUUAGCACUUCAACUACCAUCCAUCAUCUCUUCAUCGCAAUCGGCCUUCAUCAAAGAUCGACUGCUAACAGACUCGUUUGUCACUGCAAGUGAACUCAUGAACUGGUGCUCGAAAUCUGGGAAGGAAUGCAUUGGAAUCAAGGCAAACUUUGAGAAAGCAUUCGACAACGUCAGAUGGUCCUUUCUAAAAAGUAUACUGCACUGGCUAGGUUUUAAUGACAAAUGGUGGGCGUGGAUCGAGCAAUGUAUCUGUAACGCCAAAGUAGCCAUUCUAGUAAACGACGCCCCGACCCAAUGGUUGAAAACUCGGAAGGGGCUUUGACAGGGAGACCCCCUCUCCCCGUACCUCUUCUUACUAAUAGCUGACUGCUUAGCCAGAAUCACUGAAACCGCGAGGAGAAACANCAUUUUAUGUGUAUAUAUGCAUGCACUUUGAUGUCUAGCUUAGCCACCUCUAUUUUAUGUGACUAGCUAGGGUUUGUUCUCUGCUUGGCCAUGCCAUAUUGUCCACACUAUACGUCGGCUAGCUAGCUCUUGUAAAUUAAUUAAGCUCGUGGUUUUUUAAUUUGACCCUUCCUUGGAUGCAUGGCUAUCACUUGCCACGGUAACGGAUGCACGAAGAAACAGCUAAAAUAUUUAACUUCUCUAUCAAAGUGUUUUCUCCCUUCGUAUACUAUAGCAAAAAAAAAUGGAAAUAUUAAAAUGAAUUUUUUUUUUUUUUUGGAGUGUUGAGAAACUUAUUUGCCUCUUCUUCUCAACAAAAACAGUAAAUAAUUAUUUACUAAAUAUGUGAUUACUGUAUUUCAGAAUAGAUAAACUGUUCACAAAUUAGUCCAAAUAGGGCCCACAGUAUAUUUGGCCCCGCUAUACGGUAUAAUAUUGUUAACUAAGUAUGGCCUCGAUCGAGUGGAAGCCCGAAUAGAAGGCUGGAAAGCCAAACUUCUCUCGCUUGGGGGAAGACUCACGCUCGUUAACUCGGUACUCACCAACCUACCACUAUUCUACUUUUCCAUCUUCAAGGCCCCAAAGUGGGUGUUAAACCGGAUUGAGGGACUCAGAAGAGCUUUCUUCUGGAAAGGGUGCUCCAAAAUCACCGAUGGCGCUUGCCUCGUCAACUGGAUUUCAGUAUGCAAAAGUAAAAGAGACGGGGGUCUUGGAAUCUUAGACCUAAAAUCUAUGAACCUGGCACUUAUAACCAAAUGGUGGUGGCGUUAUUUCACCGACCCAGACCUCAUUUGGUGUAAACUGAUUAGAUGCCUCUACUACGCCAGACGCAAGCCACUGCUAGAGGGUAGAGCCUUCAGCCCGUAUUCACAGUGGUGGAAGAGUGUGCUCUACUGCCGAGACGUGUUUUCCUGUGGUGUAGCCUACGAGCUCGGGGAUGGAUGAAAUAUCAGGAUGUGGUCCGAUAUCUGGAUUGGAGAAACCCCUCUCCGUACUCUAUUUCCGGACAUCUUUUCAAACAUCAGGAAUAAGGAAGCCCGGAUCUCCCAAUGCUGGGAUCAAGGCGGAUGGAGAUGACGCUUUAUCUGUCGUGGAUUCACGAUUGCUGCUUCCGCCGAUAGACGAAGACAGGUAUCGUCGCUUAAGGACAUGCUCCAAGGCCUCUGUCCAUUUGACAGGCCAGACCUGAUCAAAUGGCGUUGGACCUCCAACCAACUUUUCACUGUUAAAUCCCUUUAUCGGUUCAUCACGGACGACGGACUUCGUGUCCCGACAUAUUGACACAUCUGGAAGCUGAAAACCCCCCUUAAAAUUAAAGUUUUCAUUUGGCUACUCCUUAGAAAAAGACUACCCACCGCCGACAGACUGCUCACCCGAGGCAUGCACGUAGAUCAGAACUGUGCUCUCUGCGCAGUCCUUGCAGAAAGUUGCGACCACCUUUUCAACGACUGUGUUUACAUCCGGUAUCUUCUUCUCUGCAUGGGAGGACUGGAUGUAAACGCUGGCAGCACUGGUGACGCUAAAAGUCUCUGGACCGAAUGUACUGAAAUACCAGUCACCACGUCUAGAAACCAACGCUUGAUCCUUCUGGCUGCAACGUGGUGGGUAAUCUGGACGGAUAGAAACAACUCAAUUUUCAAUGGAAAGCCGCCCACGAUUUCUGGGUCUCUUGCACGCCUCAAACUACUGAUCAACACUUGGACCACAAUACUCUGACGUACUUUAAAAGUGAUUUCUUCUUUCAGCGCCGGAAAUUCAGAUACAAGCGAACUGGAAUCGAAAGUCUCCCGUUUUGUCCCCGUGUCAGGUUUUUUAGUGUUUGUUUACUGUUUUGUUUUCGUUUUUAUCUUCUUUUUGUUUUUCUUCCGGUCCCUCCAGGAGGCCCUAGCUGCCUCCAACAUGUACGCUUUGUUCAUCUUGCUUAAUGAAUGAAGCAGGUAGCUUUGCUACCUAUUUCUCAAAAAAAAAAAAAAAAAAAAUCAUUGUUGCUUUAGCUAAUAUAAUUUUUAAUAGUGUAGUGUUAUUUGCUAGGGAACCUACAAAUUAUGAUAAUUUACUGUUCUAUCCUUCGGUUCUUUCGAAAAACAUUCCAGAAAAUAGUUUUCUGGUUGAAAAGAAAUAUUUUCUAUCUGUUUGGCUAUUCGGCAAAGUGGUUUUCCUGAAAAAUUAUUUUCAAAUUUCAUAGAAAAAUCUUCUUUUCAUUUUUCAAUUUUUUUAAUCCAAAAAACCAAAAAUUAUGAAAAAUAACACAAUUGAAAAAUCUUCUACACCAAAGUUCACAUCCUGUUUCGUUUUAUAUCUUAAACAAUCGAUCAAACUGAUCAAAUUGGAUAGGAUUUACUUUUUCACCUUGCGCGGGUCGAGAUCACCACGAAGUCGACAAUCAUUGGUAAAAAUUGUUCGCACUCGCGAGCCGCGCACGCGCCCAGCCUCUAUUCGCGUCCAUACGAAAUCAUGCCCUUGAUCAAAUUAGUCGACCAUUUCGAUCAGUGAUCCGAUCACGAUCUUGCGUCGAUUUGAGAAAGACGCGUCAAUUUUCUGGAUGUGCUAGCAACCUUCUGAAGAUCGAAACCGAUGAGUUAAUUGUGAAGAAUUCGAGGAAGAGAAAAGGAUUAGGCUUAGGGUUUUCUCAUUACAUCAAUAUAUAUUAUUAUCCAUGUCUUUCGAUACACUUUGGUAUUGUGUGGUAUGGAAAUAAACUGUUUUUGUUUAUUCCUGGUAAUGUGUAAUUUUCUUUUACGUUUAAAUAAAAAUUAGAUUAUUACUAGGGAUACAAAAAAAUAGUAUUUUAUUAUAGUUAGUUAGAUUGAAACUGUAAAAAUAAGAGUAAUUAUUAUAAUUUAAAAAUAAUAAUAUUUUUUAUAAUUAAUUAAUUAAUUAAUUAAUUAAUGCGAAGUUCAAAUUAAAGAGAAAUAAAAAAAGAUAGAGUAAAUUUUUUUUAAAAAAAAAAAGCCCUUGGAAAAAAAAAAGGGAACAAUAAUAAUGAGGGCCACAAAACAGAGGGAAAAGCGUGCGUGCGUGAGUGCGUGCGUGGGGUGGUGGGGGUGUGAUUUAAAUUUCAACGGCUACAAACGGCGCGGGAGUGGAAUUUUUGCUGACGUGGCAGAGUAGGGUCGUGGUAAACGUGCGCGCCCAACUAAACCACGCCCCAAUACCACUCACUCUCUCUCUCUCUCUCUUCACCAACUUUUAUUAGAGAGAGAAAAUCGGUAAAUUGCAUUUUGGUCCUCAAAUUUUGAGGAGGGUAACAUUAUUAGCCCUUAAACUUUAAUUUAGAUAAAAAUGUAUAAAACCUAUCUGAGUUAUGAACCAUUUUGAGUCGUCUGUCAAUUUUUUAAUUUACUUGAUUUGAGUAAGAUACGUUCUUUAUCUUUACAGAUUCAUUUAGUAUAUUUCACGCAGUGCUCGUUACUAUAAAUUCACUAAAGUAAAUAAUUAGCUUAAAUUUUGAUUCAAAUCAAACCGAUCGAACGAUUGAGUAGUAAAAUUAAAAUCUUUGGAAGGUUGGGUAGUCGACUCAAUAUGAUCUAUAAAAUAUGUAAUUUAUCGGCAUUGUUGCAAUUAAGUCCUGUAGUUUUGCUAAUGUUAUAGCGUGAUUUGAUAUUUUAGCAGUUGUUAUGUUAUUAAUCACAGUAUUGUUAUAUUAAUAAUACAUUAGUGAUAUAUUAUUAUUUUAUAGAUUAAAUUGGACCGUGUGACUUAAUUUCAGUAAUUUAAAAUUUUGAGUUAAAAUUAUAAUAAAUUAAAAUUUAAGAACCAAAGUGCAAUUUAGCCUGAUAUAUUGCACUCUUUACUUUAUUCAAUUUUGGCUCAAAUUUUUUAAAUUAUUAUAAUUAAGUUUACGAUUUAAUUAAAUCAACUAAUUGGCCACUUCUUAGCAUUAUGACUAAUAACAUAUGCAACAAUUUAGAAAGAUCAAGCUAAAAAUUUAAAACAACAGAGUACUAAAGUGAAAAAGUGCAAAACCAUAGGGUACUAACUUGAUACACUUUAAACCACAGGGUACUAGAGUGAGAAAAAGUGAAACCACAAGGGGCGUAUUUGAAGUUUUCCCUUUUUUUUAUAUAUACAACUAUUCUCCAACAUAAAUAGGAAUCUCAGUUUUUUACUUUUUUAUCCCUUCUCCAACAUAAAUAUUUUUAUAUCGAACCAAACAAACAGAAAAGUAUUUUUCAUACCGAAAAUAAUUUUUCGGUUCAUUUUAUGCCGAACCAAACCCUGCCAAGGGACAAAAGUAUUGGCCCAAAAAGUCUAAAAAGGACUAAAUUGCAAUAUCAGGAUAGCACAGGGACAAAACUGAAAUUUCACCCUCUGAUGCUAAUUUAGGGAAAGGAUAUGAGUGUUGUUGCAUUUAAAAAGGUUUCUGAGACUUGAAUCUGUUAUUAUCCUUCUCAGUUAAACACAAACAACAAAUAAUCAACAACACCCCCCCACUCCAUCUCUUGCUUCUUCUUCUCUCUCUCUCUCUCUCUCUCUCUCUAUUCCUUCACUUCAACAUAUUCAAAUCCCACCUUGUAAGUUUCCCCUUCUCUCUCUCUCUCUCUCUCCUCACAGCAAAAAAAGAAAGAAAACAAGAAUAGAAAGAAGUAGUGCUUCUAAGCCCAGCACUUUGGGGAAUUGGGUUCUUCUCCUUUUCUGGGUUCCUCUUCCCCCCUUUCUCUUCUCCUCUCUUGUUGUUCUUUUAUUUACCUUUAAUUAAUUAUUAUUAUUAUUAUUUUCCCUUAUCUUUGUAGGUUACCAACCAAAGACCUUCAAGUAAAGGUAACUAACCACUUUCACAAACUCUCUCACAUUUAUAAAUAUGCCUUUUCCAUGUACUACAUAUACAUAUAUAUAUGUUUUUAUGAUUGUAGAGGAGUAUAUUAUGGGAGAUCACCUCGCCCUGCUCGUCGAUCGCCUUCUAACGGAGUCGACGCUGGAAGCCGCGAUCGAGAGCAGGAAACGCGCCCAGAUCGGGCAGUCUGCAGAAUGGGGGAUCGAACAUGCGACCUCGACGGACGCCAGCCCGCCGAGCAAAAUGGUGGAGUGUAGGAUUUGCCAUGAUGAGGACUUUGACAGCAACAUGGAGAUCCCCUGCUCAUGCUGUGGAAGCUUGAAGGUAUAAUAAUGCAUAGUAAUAAUGCAUUAAUAAUAAUGCUUUGUUUUGUGAAUUAUUAUUUGUUUGCAAUGAAUUGUUAUUGGUUGAGUAAUUGUUUACAUAGUUUAGGUUAAAAAAAAAAAAAUGUAUGGAGAACCUCUCAAUUGUAUAAUUUCUAGUCACAAAGUUUGGGAAUUUUAUUUGAUGAUUUCACCAAAUUAUAGUAAAAAACUAGACCAAUUAAAGAUCAUUGGAUGGAAUUUUUAAAUUAAGUAUAAAAACUCAAAUAAAAGAAAUUAGAAGCUUGGGGGGUCUCAAUCCAAUGGAAAAAGGAAAAAGUUGAGGGGGCUAUUUCAUAAUUGGCUAUAUUUGAGGGGCUCUCAAUACAUUUUUAUCAAACUCUAUGUGUUAUGAUUUUGUAAUUAUUGUUUAUUUGCAAUGAAUUGCUCAUGGUUGUGUUAUGUAGGAUUUAGUUUAGGUAAAAAUUUAUGGAGGCCCCCUCAACAAUCGGAGGUUCUGAAAUUGCCCCCUUGCACUUUUGAUUAAUUUGGCAAUUGGUAUGAAGUUGAUUGAUAAUUUAAUCAAAUUUAAUAGUUUAGAGUAUUUUGCAAUGAAUAAAACUGGGCUAUUUUAAUUGCUAGUAGCUAAUUGAGCCAUAAAAUUUAACAACAUUUUAACUUAAUUAACUAUAAAAACUCAAAUUCAAAAAAACACUUAGAAGGGGAUGUCAAUAAAAAAUUUUAAAUUGAGGGAUCAAUUUCAGAUCGUAUAUAAAUACGGGGCUCUCCAUGCAUUCUUUUGCCUAUAAUUUAUGUUUUGUAUUCUUGCUUAGUUAAAAGUUGCCUAAAUGGGCCUAAACCUUUUAUUUUAUUUUAUUUAUAUUUUAUUUUGUAUAUAGAUUAAUAACAACUUUUAGUUUCUAACACUUAUCAUAAGAGCUUUUCCACAUAAACCCUGCAGUGUUAAUUUUUUACUUAUUUUCUUACGUAUAUACCCUCGCACUUUCGAAAAUAUCGUAUACGCAAAAUAUAGCGCGCUAUAAUUUUAGUUUGGUUCAAAUUUGAAUGAAAUUUUCUCGUGGAACGAAUUUGGAGGGAACUCUGAUUGCAUUUUGCGCCGAUUAAUUUCUUUUUUUACUCGCAGUACGCUCACAGAAAAUGCGUGCAGCGGUGGUGCAACGAGAAGGGCGACACAACUUGCGAAAUUUGCUUGCAGGUAAAACCUAUUUCAAUCUAAACGAAAUAAACUCGUGUUUCGAAUUUUAGGUUGAAUUACAUAAAAUCCCCCCGCAAGUAUAUGCUUUUUUCAUUUUUUCUUUCUGAUUUUCUGAAAUGUUUUCAGAGAGAUAUGACGUUAAUGGAGAGAGUAAAAUGAUCAAAUUAUUCUUACUUUUUCGAUAUAAAUUAUAAGAAAUUGAUAGAAUAGUGAUGAAACCCUGACGGAGGGGGCUUAAAUGUAACAACUUGAAAUAUUGAGGGGGUAAAAUAUAAAAUUUUGAAAAUUAGAAAGGAAAAGUGAAGGAACAUAUAUUAUUUAUAAGAAAAUUUUCUGUAAUUUAGUCUAUUUUUAAAAUUUAGCAUUUAAAAUUUUUCCGGUUGUUCGAUUUCCAGCCAUUCAAGCCGGGAUACACGGCUCCGCAGCAGCUGUUUCACUACGGCAGCAUACCGAUGAAUUUCAGGUAUGUCGAGAUGCGAACUUCUUUCGAUGUGUUUGCUGCAGGCAUAUUUAAGAUUCUGCGGUUUUCGUCUCGCAUUUCAGAGGGAGCUGGGAGAUUUCGCGGAGAGAUGUUCACGAUUCGCAGGUCAUAACGAUGGUUCCUUCGGAGCUCGGUCGCGUAAACUCCGACUCCGACUACGACAACGACAACGACGACUACUCCUACCUGAGAUCGCGAAGCACCGCGUGCUGUCGAUCUGUCGCCGUAAUCGUGAGUUUUCUGACGCUUGGCAGAUCUGCCACGAAUGUCUGACGUUCGAGAACUUGCUUGAUAUGUGAAUUCGGUCUUGAAAUGCAGUUCAUGGUUCUGCUGGUUCUUCGGCACAGUCUGCCCUUCGUGAUCAGCGGAGCCGAGCAGUAUUCCUUCGCGCUGUUUUCAGUAAAAAUUUCUGACCGCGACGAAGUUUAAACUCUGACGCAUUUUUAAAUCAUAUUCGUAUUCGAAUUCGAAUCUGAUGUUUGAAUUUUUGUUCUUUUUUAUUUGAGUAGCUCCUUGUAUUGCGGAUUGGGGGAGUGCUCUUUCCGGUUUUCGUAAUGGUGCGAGCAUUAGCCACUUUUCAUCGGCGUCGUCGCCAACAGGUGCAUCAAAUUGAAGCUUUUUUUUAAACAAAAGAAUUUAUUGCACAUAACUAUACUUGUUCUUGUUUUUUUAGUCCUUGAAGAUUGAAUCCGGUUUCAAUUACGUCCUUAGAAUUCAAAAUUUUUUUAAAAAACUUUUUUCGACAAUACAGUAACAGGAGGACUCAAUUGUUACACGGAACAAACUUAGCGACCUAAUUGUAAAAAAUUGAAAUUGUGAGGAUGCAAUUUCAAGGACUAAAUUUGCAACUAACCCCCCUUUUAAAUCUAACUUUUAUUUGAUAAAAACAUUGCAGGAAGAUCGAGAAGUGCACAAUUCGUCAUCCGAAACCGAGCCCGAAAAUAUUCGAUUCAAUUCGCAUCUCGUUCGAGCGCACUAACGAAUCGGCUGGCGAAUUUUAAAAAAUGGCACCGAAAAAUGGAAAUGAAUGGAAUUGAAAGAAAAAAAAUGUUGUGGGGGAAAUUUAAAAUGAUUCAUAUCCUUGGAAUGGUGUUGUUUAGUUCAAAUUUGAUGUAUAUAAACAUGCUUUAAGAUCCUUAGGCUUUGUAAAUAUGAUAGAAAUGGGUAUAAGAUAAAUCAAAAAAAAAGUUUCAAAAAAAUUAUCAAUGAAAUUUAGAUUCAUGGGUUUGUGAGCAUAUUGUGUUGUUGCAUUUUCUAAAUAUUAUAGUCAUCUUUGCUUCAAAGGAGAAUAAGUUGUGCAUGUAAAUAAGGAAUAAACCAUUUUAAGGCAAGAUAAAGCACUAUAUUCAUGCAACUAAUAAAAAAAAUUUUAAAAAAGGAUAAAUUUUAUAAGUAGCAUUGUUUUUUUUUUUUUUGGACAAAAUUCAUCUUUGCCGGCCGUUGUAUUUUAAAAGGUUAAGCUGUUAGAGAACGGGCUCCCCCUGACGUGCCUGACAUGACUCGAACUCAGAAUCUCCUGUUCUGAUACUCAUGUGAAACCACGGUUGUACCAUAAAAAUUUUAGGAUACAACAGUGGUUUCACAUGGUAUCAGAACAGGAGAUUCCGAGUUCGAGUCAUGCCAUGCUUGUUGCAUUAGGAGGUUCGAACUCUCGUAUUAUGGACAACGUAAACGUGUAUUCGGCCCAUUCGGAUUCGGUUUUCGAUAAAUUCGUAUUCGACGAUUAAACCUAGGCCUAGCUAAGACCCAAUUGCACUAGGCCCAGUUCACAGCCCAAUUAAAACUCAUUAAGUGAAAGGGAUUUGGGCUUUUAGGUUUUUCACACAACCCCCAAAAUAAAACAAAUUAAUGAUUAAAUAAAUGUGUUAGUCACAAUCAAAUUACACUUUUUUUUUUUUUGCUUUUUCCUGUUCUCAGAAUCCAAUCAAAUCAUGCUACUUAGUACAAAAAAUUAUUAACAAACAAACUUUUUUAAAAUGUUUUUGAUUUGAGAGAGGAGGCUACAAUGAAGAAGAGAUUGUUUAAACUACUUGCAUUACUACAAUGCCCAAGGCUUUUAGUUCUAAGCCCAUUAAGAUAAAAACAGAAAAGAAAAGAAAAAAAAGAAUAAUCAGGAUAAAAACUUAAUUUAAGAUAUGCGUUACAUGUAAUACAAAAUCCAUGUUUCGUAUGAUCAUACGUAUCAUAGGUUCAGGUAAAAUAUGAUUUUUGCAAUAUCAUCGAAAGGCAACAGAUCCUGAGUCUUCAUUUGAGAUUGUAGAUAAGAUGUUACAUUAAGUGUGAUGGCAAAGUGUAUAGAAAAAUACUUUAUUUGUUCCUAUAAGCGAAAACGAAAAUACUUUAUUUGAGUCUUCAUCGUUUUUUGAUGGGAUCACAAAAAACAUUAUUCUAAUCUGCGCAAUAUAAUAUUACGUACAAAUUUUACUGUAUGUGACACAAAAAACAUGAUAUUGCAUAAUAUCAUUGUAAUAUGCAUAAUAUGAUAUUGCAUGCAAAUCUUACUGUAUGUAAAACAAAAAACAUGAUAUUGCACAAUAUCGUUGUCAUAUUCACAGUAUGAUAUUGCAUACAAUAUGAUAUCGUAUCAUAACGACUUGACUCGCUAUCAAUAAUAAUUUAUUGGGCUCAAAUUAACAACCCAAAAUAUUUAAAUCCAGUUAUUAUUAUUAACAUGGAGGCGUCUUAUAUGCGAAAUUAGAACCCUUUUUUCAUCCGAUAUGGUACUAUUGGGGCUUUACAGACUCCCCCCGUUUAGACACUAGCAUCCUCGUAGAAUUAUCAGGCAAUAUGAGAUUCUAGAGGUGGCUCUUAUGAGUACCAGGUGAUGUAAAAUUCCAUAGGUGACUCCUACGAUUAUCAGGAGAUAUGAGAUUCUAGAGGUAACUCCUAUGAGUUCAAGAGGUGGCUGGCUCUUAUCAAAUCCAUUAGUGUAGCAUUUUGUCCCGCAUAGCACUUAGAUAUCACACUUUCGGUUUAUAUUCAGCUCUGAUACCACUUUUAACAACUAGAACGGCUAGCAAUAAUAACUUGUUGGGCUUAAACCAUCGGCACAAAAUACUUAAUCUUAGUUAUUAUUACUAGCGUGCAAGGCUUCACAUAAUCCAAUCAGAAUUAUUUUUCCAUCUGAUGUAGGAAUAUUUAGACAUUACAUAUCACAAAAAACAUCAUUAUAAUAUGCACAAUAUGAUAUUGCGUACAAAUCGUACUGUCUGCAACGCAAUCUCACCGCAAUCCAUAUGAAGCUCUAGUUAUGUUCACAUAUAAUGUUUACAGUGCGAGAGAAAAUAAUAAUAAUAACAACAACAACAAUAUGAUCAAUCUGGAUUGACUUAAUAUUAAUUAAAGAGAUAUUGUCAACAUUGUUUUCCCAAUAAAAGACAUAGAGCUAAACAUCAUAACAUAGAGAUAUUGCCAACAUUGUUUUCCCAAAACAUAGAGCUAAACAUCAUAACAACUCUAAUAAAAUUUACAAACAAACCUCUAAACUAAUACUUUUAUUCAUGGCGAGAAUAAACACUCACCGCAUCAUCACCAUUCAUCACCAGCGUGAUGAUCAUAAUCCGCCACAGCAUCAUCAUCAUCAUAAUCAGAAUCAUAAUAAACAUCAUGCGGUGUACUUCUCCUCGGCGGUGUACUUCUCCUCGGCGGGACCCGCUGGUACUUCUCCUCGGCGGUGUACUUCGCCUGGAACCCCGAUCCCGCGUCGCGCACUUUGACGUUCUCGUACCAGCGGUAACCCUCGCCGCCGCGGUCCUGCUGCACCCCGGUGUUGUAGCGGUAGUAGCUCCCCGUCGACCUAUCCUCCCACGCCACGUGGUACCUAGCGUCGGGGGCGGCGACCGCACCCCGCCCCACGGUGGCCGGGAUCGGCGAGGAUUUGGGCUCGUCGCCGCCGUAGUGCAGCUCCGUCGUCGAAUACUCCGGCUCCACGUGGCGCGGCGGCCCGCCUCCCGAGGCGUAGGCCGGCGCGGAAUUGGACAACUCGGCGGACCAAAUCGCCGAUCGGGGAUAGGUGUUCUCGGUUUUGUUGUUGUUGUUGUUGUUAUUCGCCAUUUGCGUGCGUGCUCACUCGCGGCGCUCACGCUAGGGUUUUGGUAUUUAUAGAUUCAUCUUGCUACCGGGGAAGGAGCACAGGGGUGCAUUACGAUUCGUGCGAGGGACACGUGGCGAGAAAUGAUAUUCGAAACUUUAUUUGAAUUCGAAUCAGAAAGUGUCAGGUUUUAGGUACCGAAUGAUUUUUUUUGCGGCUAAUUUUGCAUUGCAUUCAUAUAUAAAUAAAUAUUUCGUGUUAUUUGAAUUUAUAUUUUAAAGAUUUAGAUUUUACUCUAAUAUAUUUUAAAAUAUAAUAAUUAGAGACAAAUGAUUGCUUCGAACUAGGGUUUUCGCGUUCGGAUUCGGGUUUUAGGUUUUUUGCCGGAUUCGAUUUUGUAUAUGAAUUUUCAAAACUUGUCGAUCAGUUCGGAUUUGGAUUGGGUUCGAGUUCGAGUUUCGGGUUUAGUUGACGGUUUUGAAUUUUUGGAAAUCCGCUCCAAAUCCGACUCAAUAACAUUCCUACGUACCCUCGAGGCCUCGAUCCUUCCAUUAAAUUUUAAAAUAAUUCUCCAAUCUAUGCGUCCUCAAACUUUAAUUAACAUAAAUUUUAUGAUAAAUUAUAUUUUUAGUUCUCAAACGCACGUGAUAUUUUAGUUCUCUAAUUUUAAGUCGCUGCAAUUUCUAGGUUAAGCUAUCAGAUGCGUGGCACUUUAGCUCUUUUAGCCCUCAAACUGUAUAUAUAUACACACCAAGCUCUGCUACAUAUAACUACAAUGGAAAUAAAUUUAGAAAACAAUAUUUCUUAGAAAAGCGCAAGCUCGAAAACUAUAUUUAAAUAAAGAUAAACAUGUUCGACAAUUUAGGGAGAUAGGACAUAUAAAAACAAAUUACAUUGUUAUACCUGUGGCGGUACGGAACAUUUUGCCAAUACAUGCCCAAAACAAAUGAAUAGGAAAGAUAGGAUUGCUUACCGACCGUCUCUAGAGCAAGUGGCCAAGGACUUGAUGGUUGGUAUCCGAAAUUCAAGUUCGAAUUCUAGUUGAUUUAUAUUUCCAACUAAAUUUAUUUCUAAAUAAAAUAAAUGAAAUGGAUAGCGUGCUAUCUAUCUCUCAAACAAAAAAAAGAAAAAAAAGAAGAAGAAGAUAGGAAUGCUUUAUAAGUAGAAGAGACACAAGAAAAUUUAUUAGCAAUACAAAGGGACUUGAAAUGGACAUAAAUACAAAUAAUUUACUAGUUUCCAUAGGAUAAUAGCCGAACCAAGUUUCAACUAAAUAUGAAAGGCACAGUAGACUUGUGAAAGGCAUAGUAGACUUAUAGGCAUGAAACUGACAACGAUGUCUUGUCCAAAUAGUAAAUCUUUAAUAAAGUCUACAGUAAGUCUUGUACGAAGAUGCUUCUGAACAGUAAGUCUUUAAUAAUGGAGAUCCUGUCUGGGCCAAAGAUUUUGUAGACAUUGGGUCCAGAAAAAUUAAUUUAGGGAUACCCUAGAUGGACCCACGUUUUUCGAGUGCGCUUCCGGAUGGGGUGCCAUGUGCACCCAAGCCAUGCGGGUCCAUCCUCCUGUUGCUCUCCAGCAAAAAGGAGAACAGGAUUUUUCUGGGUGCCCGUGCACCAUUUUUUACUUUAAAAUUUAUUUUUAUUUUUAAAUUAUAAUUUAAUAUAUAUAUAUACUAUAUAUAUAUAUAUAUAGAUAUAUAUAUAAUAUUUAAAAAUAUAUGUUAAAAAUUUACAAUUUAGGGAUUUAAAAUUCUUUUACACUUAUUUUUUGAAUAUCAAGUAUAUAUAUCUAUUAUAUUAAAUUUAUUUAAAAAUAAAAAAUAAAAUUUUAGAAAAAGUUGGUGGCACCGGGUGGACAAAAAUGUCCCAUGCUCUCCAAAAGGAAGAGCAGCAGGAUCGGGGCCACGCGGCGCGGGAAUCCGGCGUGUCCUCAAAUAACUCUUUAUGUACACACUGUCCCAAAAUUUCUGUCCUCCUGUCUGAUACUUUAGUAAUGGAGAUGCUUUCGUCUGAUCGCUCAAUAAUGGAGAUGCUUGAGAAUACUGUGAUGUUUUUCGAUGUGAAGAGUUACAUGGCUGGCAAUCAGCGAGCCGCUCAUGUUCGGCUCUCAGUUCGGCUCGAUAUUUGGCUCAUUCAAACUCGGCUUGAAUAUUUCAAGCCGAGCUUGAGUAUUUACUCCGGCUCGCAUCGAAUUAAACUGCGAAAAGCUCGAAAUAUAUUAUAUAUAUUAUAUAUAUAUAUAUAUAUAUAUAUAUAUAGUCUUUAACUUACUAUUAAUAGUAUCAACCACUUAUUAUUAGGUUUUCGGCCUUUGGACAAAGGGAUGUGCGGUUAGAAUGAUAGUGAUCCUUUAAGGUUAAGUGGGUGGUUACUUAAAUAAUAUGAUUUAACGGAUAAAAAUGGUCAAAAAGGUAGAUUUAACGGCACAUAAUUCGAUAACACUAAGUAUUUGAUACUAUUGAUAAUAUAGUUGCCAGACUCUAUCUCUCUCUCCUCUCUAUAUAUAUAGUCCGGCUACUAUACUAUUUAUACUAUUGAUAGUACUAAGCGCUUUGUACUAUUGAGUUUUCUACCAUUAGAUCUGCCUAUAUAUAUAUAUAUAUAUAUAGAGUCCGGCUAUUAUACUAUCGAUAGUACCAAGCAUUUGGUGCUAUCGUGUUUUCUGCUGUUAGCUCUAUCCCUUUGGCCAUUUUCAUCAGUUAAAUCAUACUAUUCAACUAGCCACCCACUUAACCCUAGGGGGCUACUAUCAUCCUUAUUGUACAUCCCUUCAUCCAAAGGCCGAAUAUCUAAUAGCAAGCGGUUUGUACUAUUAAUAGUAUAAUAGCCAAAUUCUAUAUAUAUAUAGGUUCGGGCUACUUAUACUCUUAUAAAUAUAGACCUCUUUAUACUUAUAAAUUUGUAGCCAUUGGAUGUGCGAUUAGAAUGAUAAUGAUCCCCUAAGAUUGAGUGGGGGGUUCGUUGAAUAGUAUGAUUUAGCGGAUAAAAAUGGUCAAAAGGAUAUAAAUCUAGCGGUCGAAAACUUAUGAGUAUAAAGGGAUUUAUACUCAUAAAAAUAUAUAUAGUAGCUGAACUCUCUCUCUCUCUCUCUAUAUAUAUAUAUAUAUAUAAUAUUUUAAAAAUAUAUGUAAAAGAAUUUACAAUUUAGGAUUUAAAAUUCUUUUACACUUAUUUUUUGAAUAUCAUAGUAUAUAUAUCUAUUAUAUUAAAUUAUAAUUAAAAAAUAAAAAAUAAAAUUUUAGAAAAAGUUGGUGCACCGGGUGGACCAAAAAUGUCCCAUGCUCUCCCAAAAGGAAGAGCAGCAGGAUCGGGAGCCACGCGGCGCGAAUCCGGCGUGUCCUCAAAUAACUCUUUAUGUACACACUGUCCCAAAAAUUUCUGUCCUCCUGUCUGAUACUUUAGUAAUGGAGAUGCUUUCGUCUGAUGCUUCAAUAAUGGAGAUGCUUGGAGAAUACUGUGAUUUUUUUCGAUGUGAAGAGUUACAUGGCUGGCAAAUCAGCGAGCCAGCUCAUGUUCGGCUCUCAGUUCGGCUCGAUAUUUGGCUCAUUCAAACUCGGCUUGAAUUAAUUUCAAGCCGAGCUUGAGUAUUACUCGGCUCGCUCGAAUUAAACUCGAAAAGCUCGAAAUAUAUAUAUAUAUAUAUAUAUAUAUAUAUAUAUAUAUAUAUAUAUUCUACUNNNNNNNNNNNNNNNNNNNNNNNNNNNNNNNNNNNNNNNNNNNNNNNNNNNNNNNNNNNNNNNNNNNNNNNNNNNNNNNNNNNNNNNNNNNNNNNNNNNNNNNNNNNNNNNNNNNNNNNNNNNNNNNNNNNNNNNNNNNNNNNNNNNNNNNNNNNNNNNNNNNNNNNNNNNNNNNNNNNNNNNNNNNNNNNNNNNNNNNNNNNNNNNNNNNNNNNNNNNNNNNNNNNNNNNNNNNNNNNNNNNNNNNNNNNNNNNNNNNNNNNNNNNNNNNNNNNNNNNNNNNNNNNNNNNNNNNNNNNNNNNNNNNNNNNNNNNNNNNNNNNNNNNNNNNNNNNNNNNNNNNNNNNNNNNNNNNNNNNNNNNNNNNNNNNNNNNNNNNNNNNNNNNNNNNNNNNNNNNNNNNNNNNNNNNNNNNNNNNNNNNNNNNNNNNNNNNNNNNNNNNNNNNNNNNNNNNNNNNNNNNNNNNNNNNNNNNNNNNNNNNNNNNNNNNNNNNNNNNNNNNNNNNNNNNNNNNNNNNNNNNNNNNNNNNNNNNNNNNNNNNNNNNNNNNNNNNNNNNNNNNNNNNNNNNNNNNNNNNNNNNNNNNNNNNNNNNNNNNNNNNNNNNNNNNNNNNNNNNNNNNNNNNNNNNNNNNNNNNNNNNNNNNNNNNNNNNNNNNNNNNNNNNNNNNNNNNNNNNNNNNNNNNNNNNNNNNNNNNNNNNNNNNNNNNNNNNNNNNNNNNNNNNNNNNNNNNNNNNNNNNNNNNNNNNNNNNNNNNNNNNNNNNNNNNNNNNNNNNNNNNNNNNNNNNNNNNNNNNNNNNNNNNNNNNNNNNNNNNNNNNNNNNNNNNNNNNNNNNNNNNNNNNNNNNNNNNNNNNNNNNNNNNNNNNNNNNNNNNNNNNNNNNNNNNNNNNNNNNNNNNNNNNNNNNNNNNNNNNNNNNNNNNNNNNNNNNNNNNNNNNNNNNNNNNNNNNNNNNNNNNNNNNNNNNNNNNNNNNNNNNNNNNNNNNNNNNNNNNNNNNNNNNNNNNNNNNNNNNNNNNNNNNNNNNNNNNNNNNNNNNNNNNNNNNNNNNNNNNNNNNNNNNNNNNNNNNNNNNNNNNNNNNNNNNNNNNNNNNNNNNNNNNNNNNNNNNNNNNNNNNNNNNNNNNNNNNNNNNNNNNNNNNNNNNNNNNNNNNNNNNNNNNNNNNNNNNNNNNNNNNNNNNNNNNNNNNNNNNNNNNNNNNNNNNNNNNNNNNNNNNNNNNNNNNNNNNNNNNNNNNNNNNNNNNNNNNNNNNNNNNNNNNNNNNNNNNNNNNNNNNNNNNNNNNNNNNNNNNNNNNNNNNNNNNNNNNNNNNUAGUAGCUGAACUCUCUCUCUCUCUCUCUCUAUAUAUAUAUAUAAUUAUAUAUAAUAUAUAUUUUAAUUAUAUAAAAUAAUAUAUAUUAUGUAUUUUAAUUACAUGUAUAUAAAAUUUAGAUUAUUGGGCCCACAAAACCAAACCAGCAAAAUCCUACUCUAAUUGCUCUCUUUCUCUCUUUUUCACUUACUCGUAGAGUCACUUUUCUUAAGUUUUUUAAUAUUAUAAUAUUGUAUUUCAUGCAUUCAUUUUGUAUGUUAAACUAGAUAUUUUUUAUAUCAAAUUUUAGAUAAUAUUUUAUAAAAAUUAAACUAUAGAUUGCACGAUGUAAAGAAUUUCAAGCAACUCGUUUAGGGCUCGAGCUCGCUCAACUCGAAGUUAGGCUCGCUCGAGCUCGGCUCGAAUUAAUUUCAAGCCAAGCUUGAGCCUAAAUUUAGGCUCGAAAUUAAUUUCAAGCCAAACUUGAGCUGAGGUAAACUUGCUCGAGCUCAGCUCGUUUCCACCCCUAGAAGAGUCUCUCUAUUUUUUUGUCUGUUUUUUUUUUUCCGAAAAUUUUUCCCUAAGUUUUGCCUGUGAGGAAAAAAUCUCACAGCGGGAUUUUUAAUAUUUUUAAAUUUUUUUCCUGAUUUUUGCUGGCAAGGUAAAAUAUCUUGCAACGGGUUAUUUUAGUCGAUCUCAAUACUAUAUUCUGAUAAACCUGCUCCGGAACCACAAGGUCUUGAAUUUGUUGUGUCUAUUGUUUCUAUUGUAUCUAUUGUCUCCCUUAUUUUUGCAAAGGAGUUUGUAGAGCUUGCUAUUGGAUCUUCAGUUACUGCUCCAAAUUUCUUUUUCUCUCCAUCUAUUCGUAUUACUCAACAAGUUCCUCCUUCAUAUACUAUUGCUCGUGACACAAACAAAAUUAUUUUCUAUGAUCACUGUGAGUCAAUGCAAAGAGCCAUAUAAAAACUAAAUUACAGUAGUUAUUGAGUGCUUAUCUGUGAAACCGUAUGCUGGGAGGGUCUUGUGCACUAUCUGUCCAUCAAUCUGUCUCAGGUCGUGUUUAUCAUUUAAGAUGAAUAGUAUUCCAAUUUAGGUCCAAGCCUUAGGAUAUCUGCAUCAAAGAAAAUAUAAUUUGAUAAAAAAGUUAAGAAAUAUAAAACAAAGAAAUAUUUAUAAUCUAUAUUCAUUAGAGUAUAAUUUAUAUCUUGAUUUAUUGGUGUUGUAUUAUUUAAAUAAAUUAGCCAUUUGUUUUUGAGUAAAUAAUUCGGUAUAUCUCUUCUACUGUCUGUCUUGUUAUCUUUUUCUUCGUUUUGAUAUCUAGUUGUUCGUUUUUAUAAUGUAGUGUGUCAUUGGGUACUAUUAUUUUGUUUUUGAUCAUAAAUUUAUCUAAAUCCCAUUCUAAUCUUGCAUGUUGUUCUGAAUCAAAUUCUUAAAGAAAAAAGAAAUAUAAGUAGUAUAAAUGCUGAACUUUUAGCAAUAAUAUAUGCAUUAGACGCUUUUAAAUUAAAUAUAAUAAGUAAAAAAAAAAAAACUGUAAAAACAAAUUGUGAAGCAAUUAUAAAAUUUCAUAAUAAAAAAGAUGAAAAAGCAAGUUCUAGAAGAAGAUGGAUUAACUUUCAAGAUAGAAUAUCAUUAGUACAUAUCAAUUUUGAACAUAUUAAAGGAAAAGAUAAUUUAUUUCCCGAUCAAUUAAGUAGAGGGAUUUUAAAACAGGAUAAUACAUUUGAAAAUAACAUGAUAAAUUAUUUUCAGAUACAGCAAUGGAUAUAGAAGAUAUUAAAUUAGUCCAACAAAUAAAAACUCUAGUAUCUAAACUUUCAUAUUUAGAAGAUCUCUCUUUAGAUACUGAUUAUAUAAUAAUAGAAACAGACGGAGCAGUUUUAAAAGCAAAACCAAACCAAUACAGUACACAAAAAGAAGAAAAAUUAUGUGGAUAUGCUAGUGGCAAAUUUAAAGAAAAAGAAAAUAUAAGUAGUAUAGAUGCCGAACUUUUAGGUAAUAAAGGAAAAUAUCGUAGUAAGGUUGUUGCUCAACUGAAAGAAUAAAAGAUGAGACUGAUUUAUUAGAAUUUGACAAUUUUGAUUUUCCCUACAACUAUGAAAAAUUACUAGAUGAAGACUCUUUAACACUAGAUUAUGAACUAGAUUAUAUAAAUUGGGAAAAAAUGUUACUAAAUGUAGGAUUUAUUAAAAGCCAAGAAGACAUAGAUAAGAUAUUAAACCAACUAGAUAAAAUUGAAAUCAUGGGUGAAAACCCAAUCAAAUAUCGGGGAAACGAUAAAAUAUACUGCAAAUUAGAAAUAAUAAAUUCAGAAUAUAUUGUAAGAACAGCCCCUAUAGAAUUCUCAAAUGACGAAAAUGAACAAUUUAAACUACACAUUGGAGAAUUAACAAUAUUAGGAGUAAUAAGAAAAUCAAUAUCAAAACAUAGGUCUACAGCCUUUAUAGUAAUGAAACAUGCCGAAAUUGUAAGAGGAAAAAGCAAAAUGGUAAUAAACUAUAAAAGAUUAAAUGAUAAUACAAGAAUAGAUGGUUAUAAUAUCCAAGACAAAUCUCAAUUAAUCAAAUUUUCCCAGAUUUCAAGUAUCCAGUGCACACCUAUGCAAACUAGUAAAUUACUUGUGUUUAUGUCCAUUUCAAGUCCUUUUGUUUGUAUACCUAUCUUAAUAUGUUUAGCAAAUUCAUCUGAUUUUAUUAAAUAAUCUGGACUACAAUAAAAUAUUCCUCCAUUUUGAUUCAUGUCUAUUUCUGUUAAUCCUAAAUAUGCUUGUGGUGCUUUAUAAUGUCUAUCACUCUAAAGAAUAUAGAGUUUAUAAAUGAAGAUGAAGAUGAAAAUGAAGAAGAAUUUAGCUUUGAAGAGGAACAAAGAAUGAUUGAACAAAUAAGAUUAAAAAGACAACAAAGGGAUGAAAGAGAUAAAUUAGAUGGAUUUGUCCCAAAUAAAAUUUCUAUUUUUGAUAUGUUAAAAAAAUUAGAAGGAAUAACUCUUGUAGAAGAGGGACAAGGAUCUACUGGUCAAACACACCAAACACCACCUAGAACGCAAAAUCCACCACCUACUAAUCAAUCACAAAACCAACCACAAACUCAAAGACAAACAACAUUCUCAGCAAACACACCUUAUUAUGAUACUAUAAAUACACCCCCAGAAACUUAUAGCACAGGAAAUUUUUCCAGAUUUCAAGUAUCCAGUGCACCAGAAGAAUUAAUAUGCCCAUAUGGUAGGAAUGUUAGAUCAAAAGGAAAAAAGAUUACCAUUAGAAAAACCUAUUAAGUUACAAGAUGCAGGAAGUGGUAAAAUAUUAAACAUAGCAGCACAUGAUCCUCAAACAUGGGAUACUGUUAUAGAUGUUUGGAAAGGAUUAGUCGUAGCCGAUUAUAUUAGAAAUAUAUCUACAGAUAGUCCUGAAGAAAUGUAUAAGUAUUUAGAAACAUAUUUACGAGAAUCUACUAAAGCAUAUUGUUUAGUUCAAAUUUGAUGUAUAUAAACAUGUUUUAAGAUCCUUAGGCUUUGUAAAUAUGAUAGAAUGGGUAUAAGAUUAAUCAAAGAAAAAAAAGUUUCAAAAAAAUUUAUCAAUGAAAUUUAGAUUCAUGGGUAUGUGAGCAUAUUGUGUUGUUGAAUUUUCUAAAUAUUAUACUUAUCUUUGCUUCAAAGGAGAAUAAGUUGUGCAUGUAAAUAAGGAAUAAACCAUUUUAAGUCAAGAUAGAGCACUAUAUUCAUGCCACUAAUAAAAUAAAUUUUAAAAAAAGAUAAGUAAAACAAUUUUUAUAAGUAGCAUUGUUUUUUUUUUUUUUUUGAGUGGACAAGAUCCAUCUUUGCCAACCGUUGUAUUUUAAAAGGUUAAGCUAUUAGAGAACGGACUCCCCCUCACGUGCCUGAUAUGACUCGAACUCAGGAUCUCCUGCUCCGAUACCAUGUGAAACCACCGUUGUAUCCUAAAAGUUUAAAUUUUUAGAGUAUAACGGUUGUUUCACAUGGUAUCUGAGCGGGAGAUUCUAAGUUCGAGUCAUGCCACGCUUCUGGCAUUAGGAGGUUCGAUCUCUUGUUUUAUGAAUAACGUAAAUGGGUAUUUGGCUGAUUUUUGAUAAAUUAAAAUCGGCCCAUUCGAUUCGGUCUUCCAUAAAUUCGUAUACGACGAUUAAACGUAGGCCUAAAUAAGACCCAAUUGCACUAGGCCCAUUUCAAAGCCCAAUUAAAACUCAUUAAAUGAAAGGGAUUUGGGCUUUAGGGUUUUUCACACCCCCCCCAAAAUAAAACAAAUUAAUGAUUAAAUAAAUGUGUUAGUCACAAUCAAAUUAUACUUUUUUUUUCUUUUUCCUGUUCUCAGAAUCCAAUCAAAUCAUGCUACUUAGUACAAAAUAUUAUUAACAAACAAACUUUUUUUUUCCUAAUAAUCAUGGAAAAUUAAUAAAAUGUUUUUGAUUUGAGAGAGGGGGCUACAAUGAAGAAGAGAUUGUUUAAACUACUUGCAUUACUACAAUGCUCAAGGCUUUUAGUUCUAAGCCCAUUAAGAUAAAAACAGAAAAGAAAGAAAUGAAUAAUCAUAAUUAGGACUCAUCUUAUGUUUGUAAGAAGUAUGAGUUACAUGUAAUAGAAAAGCCGUCUUUCGCAGAUGAUACGUAUUAUAGGUUCAAGUAAAAUAUGAUUUCUGCAAUCUCAUCGAAAAACAGGUUAAGUGCGAACAAAGUGGAUAGAAAAAUGCUUUAUUCGUUCCUAUAAGCGAAAACGAAAACACGUCAUCCAGAUUGAACUUGGGCUCAUUUGGGCUGUAUAUAAGACAAUAUGCUUUUCCAUUUUCUAGUAGGACCACCGAAAACAUUAUAUUAUAAUAUACACAAUAUGAUAUUACGUACAAAUCUUACUGUAUGUAGCACAAAAAACAUGAUAUUGCACAAUUUCAUUGUAGUAUGCACAAUAUAAUAUUGCGUACAAUAUGAUAUCAUAAAAAGCAUGCAUCAUUGCAAUAUGCACAACACGACGAAAAAACAUGACAUUGUUCAAAAUCAUUGUAAUAUGUACUUUGAUAUUGCUUACAAUAUAAUAUUACAAAAAACAUCAUUAUAAAUAGAACUAGGCUGGAAUGCUAUUAAUAACACUAAGUUGUUGGUGCUAUUAAUUUUUCAGCAAUUGGAUGAAAAAAUGUACGAUUAGAAUGAUGCGAGCCCUCUAGGGUUGAGUAAGUUAUUUAUUUAAUAGUAUAAUCUAACGGAUAAAAAUAAUUAAAUAUUUAAAUUUACCGGCGGAAAACUUAAUAGCACCAAACGUUUAGUACUAUUAAUAGUAUCCCAGCCGGAUUCCAUUAUAAUAUGCACAAUAUAAUAUUACGUACAAAUCUUAUUAUUUGCACACAAUCUUACACAGCAAUUCAAAUGAAGCUCUAGUUAUGUUCAUAUAUAAUAUUUACUGUACAAAAGAAAAUAAUAAUAAUAAUAAUAAUAAUAACAACAACAUCAGCAACAAAAACAUGGCCCUAUCGAUUGACUUAAUAUUUUUAAUAAAUAAAUUUAUUAAAUAUGACCAAUAUUUACUGCUCGAGUUGAAUCAACACAAUAAAACACAAUUCCAUCACCAAUAUUUUUUAUUUGAAUUAAAGAGAUAUUGUCAACAUUGUUUUCCCAAAACAUAGAUCUAAACAUCAUAACAACUCUAAUAAAAUUUGAAAACAAACCUCUACUAGAAACCAAUACUUUUAUUUAUGGAUUGAAAAAAGAGAACAAACACUCACCGCAUCAUCACCAUUCAUCACCAUCAUGAUGAUCAUAAUCCGCCACAGCAUCAGCAUCACCAUAAUCAUAAUAAACAUCAUGAUGAUCAUGUUCAUGACCCUGAUCAUGAUCAAUGGCAUGAUCAUCGUUAACAUCGGCAUCAUCGUCAUCAUCGUGCGGGACCCGCUGGUACUUCUCCUCGGCGGUGUACUUCGCCUGGAACCCCGAUCCCGCGUCGCGCACUUUGACGUUCUCGUACCAGCGGUAACCCUCGCCGCCGCGGUCCUGCUGCACCCCGGUGUUGUAGCGGUAGUAGCUCCCCGUCGACCUAUCCUCCCACGCCACGUGGUACCUCGCGUCGGGGGCGGCGACCGUACCCCGGCCCACUGUGGUCGGGAUCGCCGAGGAAUUGGACUUGUCGCCGUAGUACCGCUCCGUCGUCCCGUACUCCGGCGCCACGUGGCGCGGGGGCCCGCCUCCCGAGGCGUAGGUCGGCGCGGAAUUGAGCAUCUCCGCGGACCAAAUCGCCGGUCGGGAACGGGUAUUCUCGGCGCUGUUGUUGUUGUUAUUCGCCAUUUGCGUGCUCACUCGCGGCGCUUACGCUAGGGUUUAGGUAUUUAUCCAUUUUGUUACAGGGGAAGGAGCACGGGGUGCAUCAAGAUUUGUGCGCGGGACACGUGGCGAGAAAUGUUAAAGGAUACGGAUAUUCGAUUAUUUGAAUUCGAACCUGAAAGUGUCGGGUUUUAGGUUCCGAAUGAUUUUUUUUUGGAAAAACUUCAAAAAGACCCCAAUGUGACUUUGUAGUUUCUCAUUUUGCCCCCCUAUAUUUUAAAAUAUAUUAAUUUUCUUCCGGUGGUUUCUUUUUUUUAUCAAUUUUUUUUUUUUUUAAAUCAGUGAUAAAGUUAAAAUUAAAGGGUACUAAAGUGAUUAUUUGAUAAAUCUAGAUGGGUAUUUGAAGUUUUUUGUAUAUAAUUUAAUGAAAUAUUAACGAAAAAGCUACCAAAAAAAUAAAAACGAAACCAUAGGAGGGCAAUUUGAUACAUUUUAAACCACAGAGGGGCAAAGUGAGAAACUACGAAACCACGGGGGGAGUUUUUGAAGUUUUUCCUUUUUUUUUUUUUUUUGCACCUCAUCUGAGUUUGAACUCGAUCCGAACCUGAGUAAAUUUUGCAUUGCAUUUAUAUAAAAAUAUUCCAUGUUAUUUGAAUUUGUACUUUAAAGAUUUAGAUUUUACUUUUAUAUAUUUUAAAAUAUAAUAAUUAGAGAUAAAUGAUUGUUUCGAGCUAGAGUUUUCGCGUUCAGAUUAAGGUUGUCGGAUUCGAUUUUGUAUAUGAAUUUUCAAAACUUGUCGGUUCGGGUUUGGGUUGGGUUCGAGUUCAAGUUUCGGGUUUAAUUAACGGUUUUAAAAUUUUGAAAAUCCGCUCCAAAUCCGACUCAAUGACAUUAAUUUCUGCGUACCCUCAAGGCCUCAACCCUUCCAUUAAAUUUUAAAAUUUUAAAAAACUCUCCAAUUUAUGCAGCCUCGAACUUUAAUUAACAUAAAUUUUAGGAUAAACUUUAAAUACCACCAUGUGAUUUCGCACUUUCUCACUUUAAUACCCUAUAGUUUAAAUUGUAUACCAACUUAAUAUCCUGUAGUUUUAUUUUUAUUUUUUCGUCAGUUUUUUCGUUGAUAUUUUAUUAAAUUAUAUACAAAAUACUUCAAAUACCUUACCUAGAUUUAUCGAAUAUUCACUUUAGUACUUUUUAGUUUUAACUUUGUCACUAAUUUAACAAAAAAAAAUUAGUGAAAUUAAUAGUAAAAAGAUAAAAAUAAAACCACAAAAUACUAAAUUGAUACACUUUAAACUACCGGGUACUAAAGUGAGAAAGUGUGAAACCACAGGGGUGGUAUUUGAAAUUUUUUCUAAAUUUUAUGAUAAAUAAAUUAUAUUUUUGGUUCUCAAACUAUGAGACGUGUGAUACUUUAGUCGUCUAAUUUUAAUUCGCUGUAAUUUCUAGGUUAAGCUAUCACUUUAGCCCUUUUAAUUAGCCCUCAAACAGUAGUAAUUUUAAUUUUUGACUCAAACUAUAAGAAAUGCGAUACUUUAGUCGAUGAACUUUUUGAAUUGUUGGAACUAAGUUCCACAAUCCCACUUUUUUGAACAAAUAUUAAUGAGUUACUAAUAUCGAAGUAAUGUAAAUUUAUGUUAGUUUAUUUGUUGUAUUUGCUUACCAUUGUUUUUUUUUUUUGAGAAAGAUAAAUAGCAUGCUACCCGCUUCGUUUAUUUCAUUUAGAAAUAAAUUUAGCUGUAAAUUUGAAUCAACUAGGAUUCGAACUUGGGUCUCGAAUACCAAUCACCAAGUUCUUUACCACUUACUUUAGGGAUGGACGGUUAUUCGCUUACCGUUCAUAAUAAGUAUGUAUCAUAUAUUUGCUAUUUCAUUAUUAUACGGUGAUAUUUGCUACAUGUGUUUACAUAUACGGAGAGAAAAAUAUAUGGAACUUUUCGAAAUAGCCACACAACAUUGCCAAAGAAAAUUAAAAAAAAACCCUUAAAGAGGGCAAACAAAAUUAUACUUACAUACAUAUACUCCGAGCCCUGCUACAUAUAACUACUUUUAUAUAAUAUUUUUAAUAGCGCCACACAUUUGAUGUUACCAAAUUUUUUACUAUUAAAUUUAUUCUUUUCAUAAUUUUUACUUCUUGAAUUAUGUUAUUCUACUGUUGACCACUAAAUUAUAGGGGAUUAUUAUAAUCCUAACCACACGAUUCUUCAUCCAAUAUCAAAAACAAAACUAUUGUGCUAGAAGCACUCCGGUCUAUAUAUAUAUAUAUAUAUAUAUAUAUAUAUNNNNNNNNNNNNNNAUAAAAGAGGUAAAUCUAACGACAGAAAAUUUGAUAGCACCAAAUGUUUCGUGAUAUCGAUAGUACCACAGCCGGACUAUAUAUAUAUAUAUAUAUAUAUAUAUAUAUAUAUAUAUAUAUAUAUAUAUAUAUAUAGAAUUAGGCUGGAAUACUAUUAAUAGUAAAACGUUUUUUUUGCUAUCAAAUUUUUAACCCUUGGAUGAAAAAUUAUACGGUCAGGAUGAUAUUUGUCGGUUAGAGUUGAGUGGUCCUUCUAGGGUUGAGUGGUCCCCACUCGGUUAUAGUAUUUAAUCCAAUGGUUAAAAAUAAUAAAAAAAGUUGAUCCAAAGGCUAAAAAAUUAGUAGCAAUAAGGAGAUUUUGCUACUAAUAGUAGUCCAGUCCAACUAUAUAUAUAUAUAUAUAUAUAUAUAUAUAUAUAUACAUAUAUAUAGAGAGAGAGAGAGAGAGAGAGAGAGAGAGAGNNNNNNNNNNNNNNNNAUAUAUAUAUAUAUAUAUAUAUAUAUAUAUAUAUAUAUAUAUAUAUAUAUAUAUAUAUAUAUAUAGUUUGACUAUGGUGCAUGUAAGAGUACAAAGUACUUACGUCUUUGAUAAUUUUCACCCGUUAGAUUAUACUAUUCAACCAACCACUCACUCAACAUUAGACUGCUUACAUCAUCCUAACUGUAUAUUUCUUAAUCUAAGAACCGAAAACUUACAAACACUAACUUAAUACUUUUAAAAGCAUAAGAGCUUAAUUCUCUCUCUAUAUAAUAUAAGCUCAAGCGAUCUCUUCAAUGGUGUCGAGCGCCGGCCGCCACGGCUGCUGCCGCCACAUAAUCCUCUCCUCUCCCUGCGUCGUCGCCGCUGUUGCAGUCGCCGUCGGAAAUAUCCUCACUCCUAUGCCGCUGCCGCCGCCGCUCCUGCACUGGUGGUGGUGCUUCUUCUUCUUGGCUCUCUUGGUGGAGAUGGAGGACAGUGCGGCGGCCUCCUCGUGGGUGAGGACGGAGUAGAGAAGGUCGGUAGGGAGGAGGAAGUAGAGGCGGCGGGGGGCGAGGGGCUCGUCGGGCGGCAGCGCGGGCACGCGGUGGCCGACGGUGAGGCGCGCCGCGUCGCAGACGAAGUGGCCCGGGUGGUCCAGCAGCAGGUCCGCGACGCGCGUGGUGGGGCUCGCGUAUAAGUGCUCGACGACGCCGCCGCCGCAGCCGGGGGUGUUAGGGUUGGAGUAGUGGACUACUUUGAUGGUGUAGGAAGAGGUGGUGGAGUAGUGUGGUGUGCAUUGCAAGGUGUUGCCCAUGAGAGAGAGAGAGAGAGAGAGAGAGAGAGAGAGAGAAUGGAAGGAGAUCGAGGAGAGGAGAGAUGCUUGCUUAUGUUUCUAUUGCAUGCUUUGUAUAUAAAUGGGUGAUGCGGGAUCUAGCUAGAAGAUGAUGACAAAAGGAGAGAGAGAGAGAGAGAGAGAGAGAGAGAGAUGAUGAAAGAUGCUUCUUGUGAUCUUGUUGCUGUCUUUGUGAAUUGGUGAUGGGAGCUAGCUACAAAUGGUUACAGAGGGAUAAUAUAUAUAUAUAUAUAUAUAUAUAUAGAGAGAGAGAGAGAGAUAUAGAGAGAGAGAGAGAGAGAGAGAGAAGUGGUUCCUAAGCGCUAACCAACUAUUCCAAAAGCACACAUGCUGAUAGGAAAGACGCAUCCUUCGCACUUAAGCGCUCAGCCACAUCACUCGCGGAAUUCGAUCUGACUCAACCCACCUAAACGUUACGUUUAUUGUUGGGCCUCUUGCUAUUAGGUCUAUUGUGGACCACACCGUCACUCAACUUAUUAGACUCACUCAACUCAACUUAUUAGUCUCCUGAGCUUAUUAUUACGGGAUAGAAUGUUGGACUUAUUUUAGUCCAAUAAUAAAUAACCAAAUGAAGUAGUAGGCGAAGGGUCGCUUUUGGAUAGGGGUUUUUGUUUAGUGAGAGGAGCACAUGGGAGAGAGGUAGGGGGAGUUGGGGGAGGUUGUUUGGUGAUGCAUUGGAAAAGGACAGAGGUAGCUUGUAGGAGCCAAAUUAAGGAAUAAAAACAGUUUUUUUUUUCUUUCUUUUUUUUUUUUUUUAAGAGAUAGAUAACAUGCUACCCGCUUUGUUUAUUUUAUUUAAAAAUAAACUUAGCUGGAAAUGUGAAUCAACUAGAAUUCGAACUUGGGAUCUCGAGUACUAACCACCAAGUCUUUUGUCACUUGCUCUAGAGAUGGCUGGUAAUAAAAACAGUUGUUAGUGCAUGUAUACCAUGCAUGCAUAGAUAGAGCAACAAAAGAGAGAGAAACAGAAACUGAUCAUGAUUGAUCAUCAGGUACUGCUGCAUCAAUCAAGGGGGAAUUAGAAGAGUUGCAACCACUCUAGCUUGCUCUCUCUCCAUUUAAGAUGUGCUGUCACCAAAAUACAUACAUGCACUCCUCUUCUACUUAUUGGUUGUUGUCAUAUUUGUUAAGGAAACUGUGCCAUUAUUAUUAGAGCAGUACUGCUAGAUCUGCAACUAUUUAUUGACUAUCUAUUAUCUUACAAAUUUCUAAUCCCAAAACUGAUUUUUUUUCGCACUAAUCUGUUCAAAUUUUUGUUUUUCAAUACUUAAACUCGAAAAUAAGUUUGUAUAUAUAGACCCCAGGAGCAAGAGUCUCACAAUAUCUUUUAAUGUGUGUGUGUAGUUUUAAUUUGGUGGGUGAGCAAUAUAAUUAUAACUUAACUUAAUUCCUAGAGAUAAAAUAUAUAUAUGUCAAAAUUACAAAAAACCCUUCUAUCAAAACCUGAUUUUUCACUUCCCCUCCUAUCAUUUAAAAACCUACACUUCGCCCUCUUGUAAAAUGAUGUGUGUGUAGUUUUAAUUUGGUGGGUGAGCAAUAUAAUUUCAUCAGCUUAAUUCCUAGAGAUAAAAUAUAUAUAUGUCAAAAUUACAAAAAACCCUUCUAUCAAAACCUGAUUUUUCACUUCCCCUCCUAUCAUUUAAAAACCUACACUUCGCCCUUUUGUAAAAUGAAAAAUAUUCAUUUCACCUCCUGCCGUUAGUGAUGCGUUAGGGUUUCGUUUAUAAAAUAUUAUUAUAUAUUUUUUUAUGCCAAAAAUGCUCUCAGUCUUCUUUUCUGUUGGCAAAAAUGGUGAGGGGCAAAAUAGUCAUUUUGUCAUCAUAGUUUACAUCGUAACCCUCUGUGACUAUUUUUCAUUUUACAAGGGGUCAAAGUGUAGGUUUUUAAAUGACGGGGGAGGAAACUGAAAAAUCGAAUUUUAACAGAAAGAUUUUAUGUAAUUUAGCCUAUAUAUAUAUUAAUAAGAAGGCUCACCACAAAAAAGAGUUUUUGGGCAGUAAUGAAUAUGCUGAUUCCAGCUUUGCUUACAUUCUACAUAAAUAUUAUUGGUUGACAUCUGGCUUUGUUGUCCUCAUUCAAAAUUGUCCUUAAUCCAAAAGUCUCUUCUUCAUAUCCUACAAAUUAAUAGUAGGGUACUUGAGCUUUGUUAGGUAGUCCCAUUAAUGAUAUAUAUAAUAACAUUCCAACUUCUUUUUUCUUUUUUUAUAAUACUAUAUUUGCGCAUGAUUAUUAAGGAUCAGAAGUAUCAUAACACAUAUUUAUAUGCUAAGAACUAAUAAUUUUACAACUGAAAAGGCUAAGAACUAGCUUUGAUAUUAUACUAUUAUAUCUAAAAAAUUAAUUUGAUCAAUCAGAAAUAAUAAUAUAUGCUCUUCCAAGUAUUGGAAUUUUGAAGUUAGUACUUGCAUUUGUACCUCCAUAGCAUUAAUUGCUUAUUUUCACGUGAAUCUUACCUGGAGUUUCCAUAACAAAAUAAUAAUAAAAUAAAAAAAAAGAAAAAAAAAAAGAAACAUGUAUCGAUCGAUGCAAAUAAGAUUAUGCAUAAAUAACAUAUACACCCAUAGAUAUGAAAAUAUAUAUAUAUUGAACUAUGCUACUACACUAUCGAUAGUCCAAGCGUUUGAUGCUAUCGAGUUUUUGGCCGUUGGAUGAAAUUGUGGUUUUAUGAUUCGUGCUGGCUCUAUUACCAUGAGACAACACCAAAAACACUAAGAAAUAAUCAAAAGAAAAAUGUAAAAUAUCCUCACAUAAUGAAGAUAACCAUAGUAAUCCUCUCAAGUGCUACUAAUUAUUGUAAUGCUUGAUUACCUAAAGUUGUAUUUAGAAAUAGAAUAAUUAAGAAAUAAAGUAUUUUUUUCCAUUUAUUCUUCCAAAUACAGCUAAAUUUGACAACGAUUAUUUAUUCUGGUUAAAGCAGGUUAUUUCAGAUUAUUUUCUGGUCGUUUUUCUACACCAUACUAUUCCAUUAUUUUUCACUAUCCAAACAGCAAUUUUAGUUAUCGUAGAAAAUAAAUUAAGAAAUGCCAAACCAAAUACAAAAUUGUUCUUAUUUCUCACUAUUCCAAAAUAUUGAAUUGUUCCAAAAAUAAAAAUAUUUAUCCUUUUAAGCAUUAUAUUAUUACCAAAAGCAUUCUAAUUAAGAGCAUAUGUGUCACUUAACUAAGUUAAUCCAUAGAGCCUUCAUGCUUCAAUUGCAAGCAUAACACUAAUGAUUGAUCGCGUAAUAUAAUACAAAUUUUUUAAGCUAUAAGUGCGAAAAAUACAAUUGCUUUGGUUGUAGGACAUUAAUUAUCCAAUCAUUAGAGGAGAUUCUAAGAACUAAUUAAUAAGAAUUAAUUAAGAAGCUACAUAUUAGUUUAAUCCCGAGAUUUACGGUAAGUUAGGUUGGUAAUUUGGCAAAAUAAAUAUAUAAUAUAAUAUUAAGAGCCUAUGAAAGAAACAAAUUAGAAAACUAUUUUUGAAGCAAAUAGAUGAGAUGGUGCAUUGUAGAUGCCAUUAUGGUCAAAGUAGUGUAUAGUAGUGUAUUUAUAUAGUAUCAAAUUUGUAAGGUUCAACCACUCUUUUUUUAAUACAACCAGAAUAAUAGGAUUAAAUAAAAUAUUUUAAAUUAUUGAUCAUCCCAUUAAUUUUAUCUCCUGUAAUUAAUCUUGAAGAUUUGCUUGAUUAGAUUGAUAAUUUUGAUUUUGAUUUUUGAUUUUUUUUUGUGUGCAAAUCAUCUUUUUGUCACUAAGACUUGGUCCAAAUAGAUUAAUCGAGACUUUUAUUGCUCUUCAAAUAUAAUGUUCUUUGGUAACUUAAAUCCUGUGCGCUUGGAUGUUGGAAUAGGGUAUGAAAUGAUAACUUAUUCAGUACGAAAAUUUUCUUGUAUGACUGGAAGAUACGAGUUUGAUUCGUGAAAUAUCUUGGCAUUUAUACCUAAUUUGAUAGACUAAGAUAUUUCACUUAUGAUGUCUUUUAUCUAAUUUUAAACAAUAAAUUAAAACCUAAAUAUAAUAUUCAUUAUAUACUUAUUUUGACCGUUGUCUAAGUUUAGCAAGAGUUAGUGGAAUACUAAAGGCGAAAAAAUUAAUAAUAAAUACUAUUUAUAUACUAUCAAUAGUAUAUUAGAUAACUCUAUAUUCAUAUUCUAAAAUUUUUCCUUUUUUGAGAGAGUCAUGCGACAAGAGAACUAAAUUUUACGUAAGUGUAUACAUACAUAUUUCAAUUUAAUAAAUGAAAAAAAUGGUGCAUAAGAAACACCCCAUUCUCACUUACUAGAGUUCUCCUAAUCCAAUACAGUAUCAAAAAUUUUGAUAAAAACUUUUAGCUUGGAACAUGUUGUUAAUAUUUUGUUAUGAAUGACACUACAACCCUUUUGAGAAAAAGAGUUGUAAAAGAGAGGGGAAAAAAAAGAAAAAAAAAAAGGAAAAACUGAAUCACAGAACAAUUUGUUAGGAUAGUUUGAUUUAAAGAGUUUAACUUUAUUUUAACAGUACAAUUUCAUUUUCUUCUUACUUCUUUUUUAAUUUGACCUCAUAAGAUAGGAAAAAAAAUAUUUUUAAAAAAUUUUUACUCUUUGUAUUUUUUUUUUUCUAUCUCGCGUUCUCCCUCUCCCUCGCCCUCUAGCAGAACCAUGGCACUCGUUGGAGAAGCACGGGCACGUCUUUGUCCUCACCGUUAUGGACGACAACGAGCACUAUCUCAGCUACGACCACAUCGCCUCUACGACCACAUCGCCUCUGUCUACUUCGCUCUCACCAGCACUAGCUCUGAGUGCUUCUCCUCCGACACCGGCGUUGCCGCUCUCGGUACCGUCGCGAAGGACCAUGGAGGCGGUGGAGAAGGGUGAGAAAAAAAAAAAAAACACAAAAAAUAAAAAGAGGAGAUAAAAUAAAAUAAGGAUAUUUUGAUCAGUUUUUUUAAAAUCCGGAUCGAAUCUGUAAAAUCUAAAAUAAUGGCCUACUUUUUGCAAAAUUUCAAAACAGAUGAAUUCUUUAUGCAAAUUGGCCUUCCUCUUUUGAUGUUUCUUUUUUCCUAUGAAAUUUGAUUUUAAUGGACAAAAAUACUCCUUUCAAAUUUUAAUAUAAAAAAAUAACUUAUAACAUAAAACUGUAUUAUUAAGGAUAUUAUAGUAAACUUAUUAAUAUGCCUCAUUUAUUUCCAAGGAUAAAGCAUAAUGUUAUUUAACUAAGUAUUAUUCAAAAAUACCAAUUAAAGACACUACACACCCAAAGCGCAUUUCCAAACUAAGCCUAAGUUGUACAAAAUAAGUGUGAAACCUUUAAGAUGGGAAGGGUUAAAAUGUCACCUAAGAUUUAACACAAUUUGAAAUGAACAUUUGAACUUUAAGAGCUUCGAUUUUACUUUAUAUAAUCUUCUGAUACUUUUGCAAUAGAUAUCUAAACUUCGAAUUCAAUUAUUUAUCACUUAACUAUCUAGCCCUUAGAUUAAUACUAUUUACACCUACUAUUACUAAACCUCACAUCAAAAGGCUAAAAAAGUAGAUAGUAAACACUUGCUAUCAAAAGUAUUCUAGCUUCGUUCCUAAACUUCAAAGUUUUGAUACACUAGCUUAAAUUGCAAACUAAAAAAAAUUCGAGAAAUAUUUCAUCCAGUAACAGAAAUAGGCCAUUUUAAAACAAACCCCUCCACUAUGUUUAAUUUGAUUAAAUAUCCCAUCAACUUUUAAUUGUUUCGAAUUAAGUUAAUUUUCUAAAUUGAUUCGAAGAUUUAUUAAAUUUAACAGCUCCAUUGCCUACCAACCAGCUAUUAGCAAGUCAGAAAAGUUCAAAACAUUAAAUCAACAAAAUCUCCAACUUAAUUAAUAAUAGCAACAUCAAAAGUUGAUGGGGUGUCUAUCAAAAUAACAAUAAUAGAGGGGUCUCAAUCUCCAAAUUACCUAUUGUUGAGAGGUUCCUUGUACAUUUUGUUUACUUGAAUAGAAUCCAAGAGAGAGAUUAACACCACUGUGCUGGUAAAGAACAAGCAAAGCCAAACAUGUAGACACAGAAAAAUAACAACUCGAACUAAUAAACGAGCCGAAAAGCAAAGAUACCAAAAGAAUCGAAGCACUCGAAAGCAAGGAAAUUGCAGAAAUUCUUUUAUUCAGUUAAAUUUAAAAGGCAAAGGAGGAAAAAAGAAAAAUCUAAAGGAACCUGCAAAAGCAGGCGCGAGCUCUUCCACGAAAAAUCUACAGUUUAUGGAGCAUAAAUUGACUAUCAAGCUUUGCUGACCUCAAAAGGAUGGUUGUCGCGUAUGCAGCGAUUGCUCGCCGCACCUUUUCAAUUAUUCUGAGAGAAAUAAAAAGCCUAACUUAUCAUGAGGCCGAUUCCUUGGCGAUCUUCUCGGCCUUGGCGAUAACUUCUUCGAUCCCUCCAACCAUGUAGAAUGACUGCUCGGGAAGGUCGUCAUACUUGCCAUCCAAAACACCCUAUCAAUCGAAAGAAGAAAAAAUAUCAAAUGCAUAGACACUGUAACGAAGAUUAGAACUAAAAUGGAGGUAGCUGACAGCUUGUUGGACGACAACAGUUGAUGUUCGGCUAAAAACUCAGCUCAAUGCGAGGGCUCAGGAGUGAGCUCAUUUAGUAUAAAAGCAGGGGUCGAGCUUAAGCUUAUGGCUCACUGUUGUUUUACUAAUUAUUGCAAGAAAAUCUCGGUCCUUUUUCGGCUACAAUACCCAUAUUUUUUUACUUUCUAAACUCGAACACUGGAUCAUUGAAUGGGUCAGUAGAUGACAGAUCUUUUGCAAUGCAUUCACCAUCGAGAUUUGUUAGGCCCGGAAAAAGGAAAAAAAUGAAAUUCAAUUUUUUUUUUUGUAUCCACUCUUUUGUUUUCUAUAAGAAGAAGCCCGUUCCACAUCCAGCCAAUCUAGAAUCCCAUUUGCCAACGUAUUCGAAAUUAAAGUAUAGCCAAACAAGACCUCUCCUCCUAUUUCUAUCAGAACAAUCAUAAUUUAGUAUUUACAUAAAGAUUUAGUUUUUUAAAUUGAGUUCAGCAACAAAUAUUUGAUCUCAGUUUGCCUAAAUAGGAACCUUACUAAUCUAUUUCCCAAGUUAAACUAUUAAAUGGGGUUAUCCUAGGAAACUCAACUUUGACAUAAAAUUCAAUGAUCUGCUCUGGUAUGCUAGAUGAUAAAAAGAGAAUUUCUCACCUGGAAGCUCUGAAUACUUUCCUUCAACUCAACAUACUUUCCCGGCGCACCCGUGAACACUUCGGCGACAUGGAACGGUUGGCUCAAGAACCUCUGGAUCUUUCUAGCACGAGCAACGGUCAACUUGUCAUCUUCACUGAGCUCGUCCAUUCCCAAAAUGGCAAUAAUAUCUUGAAGAUUCUUGUAGUUCUGAAGAACCUUCUGAACACCACGAGCAGUGUUGUAGUGCUCUUCUCCCAACACGUGUGGAGAAAGCAUUCUAGAUGUCGAAUCAAGUGGAUCGACAGCAGGAUAGAUACCAAGUUCGGAAAUCUAGUAAAAAGAAUACAAACAUAUAAGCAAAUAUUCCAAAGAAAAGUUAGUUAAAGGGAAAAUUGGGGGCAAAUGGGUCAUAUUUCUAGCUAAAAAUGCAUGGAGACACCCAGAACCAUAGGUCGUGUUGAAACAGACCCUCCCAUCUUGUUUUGAAUUGACAAGUCCUCAACUUUCGCAUGUUUAAGUUUUUCGUGUUUCAGUCUGUUCAAUUAAAAAAUCCGUUAAAACUACAGACUCUGUUAGCUAUCAGCAGUUAAUUACAAACAGAAUAAACAGUUCCAUCAACCGAAAACAAGACUGAGCCGAUAAACUUAAUGUAGCCACUGCUCCAUUUAGCAAAAUCCCUGAUUCAACAGACUGAAACAACUCAAAUAAAAUUAAAAAAAACGUUGCAAGGACGUCAAUUAAAGAAACUAAGGCCAUGUUUGAUAUCGCUGCCAUUUUCUUCUGGCACCAAUUCGAUAUAAUAUGAUACACCAGCAGAAGACUUUCCUCUUGUUAUCAUUGUUAAUUAGCUUGCAAUGCAUCCCGUCCAAGUGAUGGAUGUUAGCUUGUUUUUAAAAAAAUUGAAAGCUAAAAAAAAAAAGAAAAAGCUUUCAAGUUUAUGGCUUUUUCUUUUGUGCCAAACAAAUGCCUUGGAUGAAUGCAAGCAAUCCAACCACCCCCUUCUAUACUAUUUUAUAUACAAAUUCUAUUUAGAAAAACAAAAAAAAUAGCAACGAUGCCAAACAAGGACUAGCCUUCGGGGCACAUUUCGAAAUUAUCUGUAGUUGAGAAGUGUUUUUUUAUCAACUUAUUUCUUCAAUGACUUCAAGGGCAAGUGGAAGCUCACCUGGCGAGACAACACGGUUGUGGCAUCAAGAUGAGCAAAGGUGGUUGCGGGAGCUGGAUCAGUCAAGUCAUCAGCAGGCACAUAAAUAGCUUGUACAGAGGUAAUGGAACCCUUCUUUGUUGUUGUGAUACGUUCUUGGAGGCCUCCAAGGUCAGUAGCUAAGGUUGGUUGGUAGCCGACAGCAGAUGGGAUACGGCCAAGUAAAGCAGACACUUCUGAGUUCGCCUUUACAUAAAUUGACAUGUAUUACAUAAGAACUAUCAUAAAUUCAAGUGCUCAAAGGUUAAAACUCUCGAAAGCUUACUUGGGUGAAGCGGAAAAUGUUGUCAAUGAAAAGGAGCACAUCUUGCCCUUCGGCAUCACGGAAGUGCUCAGCCACAGUUAACCCAGUAAGCCCAACACGAGCACGAGCACCGGGUGGCUCAUUCAUUUGCCCGUAGACAAGAGCACACUUGCUCUCUCCCUACAACAUUAUAUUAUAAUAUUUAUGAUGAGAUAUACAAAGAGAUCUUCCGAAAACAACAGAAGCAGAAAGGAGGAAAUCUUUGGACCUGUUUGUCUCCAAGCUUAAUGACACCACUCUCAAUCAUUUCUCUGUACAAAUCAUUGCCUUCACGAGUACGUUCACCGACACCGGCAAAGACAGAGAAACCACCUGGAUGAUAAACAAGCUAUAAGUGCACGAUAGGCAACUACCUAAAUACAGAUAGGUGAUAAAGAUCAAACAAAACCAAUUCAUCCAAGCAAGAUAAUUAUUUUACAAACCAUGGGCUUUAGCGACAUUAUUGAUCAGUUCCAUAAUAAGAACAGUUUUGCCCACACCAGCACCACCGAACAGCCCAAUCUUUCCACCUCUUUGGUACGGUGCAAGUAGAUCAACAACCUACAGAAAAAGAACAUGAUAAAGCCUACUUCUUUCAAAAAAAUUCUAGAGAACACACCUUACAAAUGAAGAGAUCAGAAAAGAUUAUUUACCUUAAUUCCUGUGACAAGAAUUUGUUGUUCAGUCGCCUGCUCAACAAAAGCUGGGGCCUCGCGAUGAAUGGGAAGGAAAUGGUUGGUCUCUAUAACCAAAGAUGAUUGAAAUACAAGCUUGGUGAGACACUAGGUGGUAACAUCCAUUAAAAAACACAACUAAAGCAGGCGAUAAAACAACAAUAAAAACAUUCACUCGGAAGCUUACUUAUUUCACCCUUCUCAUCAAUGGGUUCCCCAAUGACAUUUAUAAUCCUCCCAAGUGUAGCCCUACCAACAGGCACCUAGUAAAAGUUCAAGCACAAUCAUCAGCCAUUCCGAAAAUGAAUGAAAUCUAAGGAGCAUUCAACUAAGCAAUUACAUAAAUUGCAAAUAAAAUCCUUAAAACACCCUAAAACACCCAUUAACAUCUUGGAGAACAAUUAAAAUCAUAACUACCCAAAUUUUGAUGGCUCAACAUCCAUAUAAAUGAGGGUACGAAUAAUAAAAUAAUAAAAGGAUAAAUGUUGCGGCAAUGCAACACAAAUUAAACAUACAAAAUGAUAGAUUUCAACAUGGAGAUACCCUAAAAAAUAAAUCUGGGAUAAAAAAAUAACAAUUAUUAUCCUAAAAGGCAAUGAAAAAAGAUGUAAAAUUUUAAACAUCCAUAGAUAUAAAAGUCGUCAAUAAGCUAUAAAUUUCGUUUUUAACUAAUCAUCAAAAGUAAAGUAAUCUUAUAAACGUAGAUCUAAAUCAACCUUUAUAACGUAAUCUACUCAUCAAUUUACAAAUUCCUACACAGAUCACUCCACAGUACCAUUUCAACCAAUCAUAUCAAUCACAAAUCAAACCAUGACGAGAAUACAAGAGAGAAGGGGAGAGGGAAACUUACGGUGAUUGGAGAUCCGGUGUUCAAAACCCUUUGCCCCCGUACAAGCCCCUCGGUCCCGUCCAUGGCGAUCGUCCUCACCAUGUUCUCCCCAAGAUGCUGCGCCACCUCGAGCACGAGCCGGAUCGAGUUGUCCAUCACCUCGAGCGCGGUGAGGAUCGGGGGGAGCCCCUCGUCGUAGCGCACGUCGACGACGGCGCCGAUCACCUGGCACACCUGGCCGAUCGCGCCGGCGCCGGUGAACUCAUCGGUGAUCUUCCCGCUGGGCCCGGCUCCGGCGGCGCCGGCCUUCGGCGGGGGCGGCGCCGCCACGGCGGCGGAGGUGGCAUACUCGACGGCGCGGGAGAGAAGAAACCCAGCGGGGGAGGGGCGGCGCGGGGCAAUCGGGGCGCGGGGAGUCGCCGCAGCCGCGGCACGGCCGGGCGCCGGCGAUCGACGAGCAGAGGAGCGGAGGACGGAGGAGAGGACGCGGCGGGUCGCCAUUGGAGGUGGAGGGAUCGGAGCGGGUUUGGGGACGGAGCGAGCUAGGGUUUGGAGGUGAGGAGGAGACUCACCAUUAGGUGACGAGAGAGCAGAAGAGACACGAGAGGAGGGUUUUAAAUUAUUGCGUAAAAUAUACGAAGAAUCCAUGAACUAUAGCAUUAUUAUAAUUUAGGGUUAAUUACACUAAUGGUCCCUCACCUUUACACUAUUUUUCGAUUGGUUCCCCAACUUUUUUUUUUUUGCAAUCAAUUUUCUAAUCUUUUAAUUUUAUUUUAAUUAAGUUCCAACCGUUAGAUAACUGUUAAAAUUAAUAAAAAAUACCACGUCAGCACCAUGGAGGCUCCAUGUCAGCGCCACGGUGGCGCAGUGUCAGCGGAUUGCAAAAAAAAAAGUGGUGGGGACCAAAUUAAAAAUCAGAGCAAAGGUUGAGGACCAAUGGUGUAAUUAAUUCAUUAAAUUUAUAAAUUCAGAAAAAAUUAAUUUAAUAUUUAAAUUUUAAAUUUAAAUUUUGAUUUUGGAUUCAAAUUUAAAUUGAAAUUCAAAUUCCAAUUUUGUAUUUAAUUUUAAAUUCAAAUUCACAUUUGGAAUUCUAAAUUCUAAUUUAAUUUCAAACUUCGAUAUGAAAUUUUAAAUUCAAAAUGUGAAUUUGAAUUCGAAGUUUAAAUUCAAAUUUAGAAUUGAAAUCAAAUCUUNCCUAAUUAUUUCCACUUUCGGUGUUAUGUGGUCGGCCGCCCCACAAGGUCCUUUAAGUAGACAACAAUUAAGCCUCCUAGUCCAUCUCUACUUUCAUCUAGAGAAGUGUUACCACUGACCCGAUUAUUCGCUUUCGCAUAAACCAAGUCCACGUUAAACGUUCCCUAAACUCCUAAGGUCUCCAACUUCCUAGGGUUUCUAGGUCAUCCUUAGACUUUUGCUUUCCGCUGCUCUGAUACCAUUAUAUCUGUCACGCCCCAAUCCCCGCCAAUUUGGUCGGGUUCGGGUCACGUCAACAGACGCCGAACGGACAGAGCCUCCCCUGUCCGCCCAAGGCUCUAACAACAUGUAUAAAUAGGCAAUCAACAAGAGAUUUGCAUAUAUAAUACAAGGCUUGCACGAGGGCAAGCAACAACGAAAGCGAAAGCUCUAAGCUAAUUAAGCAACAUACAUGAUAUUUGAUUAGCAUUUAAACCAAAUUCAAGUAAAUCUAUUACAUUCUUGCAUCAUAUCUUUUUACAUUUAGUCAUCCACCAAAUACAUGAUUGUUUACACUUUUCAUUCCUAAAUCAACAAAAUAAAGUUGAUACAUGUAUAACAAAAGGGAAUGACUACAAAAUGCAUAAAGUCCCCGGUGGCCGCUACCUACGGCGCCAAACCCUUGCCUCGGUCCUCCGCCGCCCCGCUCGUGCUAGGACCUGUAGGGUUAGUGGUGUGAGAACUACAACGAAGUUCCCAGUGGGCUCGGCAUCCGACCUCGCCGACUUACCCACUAGGUCCAUCCAGGCAUAAGUAUUACAAAGGAAAGAGAAGUAACCAAUACUAAUGCAUCUAAUACCAUGCCUGCAAAAGAAUGUCAGUGGAUACAUAUACUCGAUGCAAUAAUAGAAAAUGCAUGCAUGCUCAAAUCUCAAAGAAGCUUUGGCUCUUACCCAAUCUUACCGGUUAACCUUGUUAACCCCAAUAACUCACCACCCAAAAUCCCUUAAUAGCGGGGGACUCGAACCUCCCUAGGGACCGUCAUCUGGGGGGACUUUACCACGCCCAGUGGUGACCAACUCCGGAGCGCACCGCUCGAGGGGGAGCGACCUCCCUCAAGCCAAGACGAAAUGUGAGUAUCGAUCUAAUCCUCAACUUGAGAAUUCAUAGCCACUAGUCACAAUGCCAAUGUCAUGAUAGGUCUCUACCUAUUCAUUCUUGCCACUCUCAAGGCUUUACCUUUGACGAUGUCAUAAUUGGUUAAACUAUGUUUAACGGUUCAUCUCUCAAUGCAAAUCUUGUUUCUAUAUCAAUGUCACCCUUGUUUUCUAUUGUCCAAGUCCAAUCUCACAUUCACACAACUUGAGGGUCCAAUCACACAUGUCCAUUUUGGUUCUAUUAUCCUCUAUGUUCAACUACAUUAGAAACAUAUAAAUGAAGUCAAACCAAGUUCCAUAUGUAUCUACCCUACUAUGCAUGAAUGGGUAUAUAUGUAUAUGCUCAAGAAUAGAGAAAACAGACAUAGAAGGGAAUCCAACGAUUCUGGCGUGCAACCCCCACCUCUAUUGGUCGUGUGGGUGCAGAAUAUGAAGGCCCCCGCACUUUACGAAAGCCGAUUCCGUGCCCUAUAAUCAAAAUAGCGCCAUAUUAGGCCUUUUUGUACAUGAACUACACUAUUAUUUUCGCAACGUUAAACGGAGUUGUCCCACUCAUUUAGGACACCUCCAAUUAGGUUUCUACGGGGUCAAUUUGUCCCCGAAAAACCCUAGGGCAAAAGCCCUAAUUUUCAAGCCCUAAUAUUGCCAUUUAGGGUUUCCCCAUGAAUCGAUCCCAAUCCUAAGCAAACAUUGGCCUAGGAUCACCUAAGAAGCACUCUAGUAUGUUUUCUAGAUCUUUGGUACCAACCCUAGGGCUCCAAACACCACUUCCAAGGAUUCACCAUGAGAGCACUUCGAGCUCUCAUGGGUACCAUGGUAUACAUGGCUCAAAAGAGCCUUUAAAGCCUCUAGGGAGCACAAAAUCCAAACCCUAGACUCAUUUCUACCAAAAACUCACCUUGGCCCAAACUCCUCCAAGUCAUUCUUGUAGGAGAGCUUGUAAAACCUACCAAAGCCUCCAAAUCCUCCUUCCCUUCACUUCUUUUUCUUCUUCUCCAAGCCCUAGAGCAAGAGUUCUAGAGAGAGAGAGAGGAAAUGGGUGAGAAGGGUGAAAAUGGCUGUGGGAGAGAGAGGAUGGGCCAUAUAUAGUGUUGUAACAAUUGCACUUAAGCCCCUCCAUUUGUUUCCCCUGAUCUACCCAGACUGGGCAUUUUUCACCUUCGGGGACCGGUCUCCCCGACCAGGGACCGGUUCCCGAACGGGGGAUUUUUAGGACUUAGCCAAAUUUUCGAGUUUUUCAGCUGUUGCGCAGCGAGGGACCGGUCUGCCCGUCAGGGACCGGUCUCCUGAGGACCAGUCUCACCACCAGGGACCGGAUGCCUCAGGAUUUCCUGGCAGGCUACGCGCAUGGGGACCGGUCUCUCCUUCAGGGACCGGUCCCCGAGAGCUCAAAAUCUGGGACUUAGCCAGAUUUUCAGAUUUGCUCUCCGGAUCACUUUUAGCUCUGUUUAUGAACUCUAAUGCACUUAGGGUCCAUUCUAACUCGUUCAAUUCCGCGUUCCGCUCGUUUUGACGGAACUCGGUACGAUUUACGAGGGAUGUGGUAUGUUACAGUAAAUGUGAGCUAAAAUCGAUAAACUCUAAGAAGAGUAGAGAAUUGGACAAGUGUGACAUGAAUCCUAGGUAUGGACAACUAGGAAAACAAGAACACUAGUGGCAUUCAACCUAGUGUCAUGGAACAUAGGUGAAUUUUGAGUGGGAUUAAACCUAGUAUUAAACAUAGGUUGAGAAUUGAACCUAGAGUCAAGUAAACCUAGAUUAUGACACGAGUGGCAUUGAACCUAGAGGUAAAUGAACCUAGGUAGCAAAGAAUAUAGAACCUAGUGUUGUAGAAUCUAGGCUAUGAACAUAGUGACAUUGGACCUAAGGUAUUAAACUUAGGUUGAGUAAUGGCUUGGACUUAGAUAGGUCGACACUAUAGGAUUUAAGACCAACCCUAGAGACAUGAGUGUCGAUUUCGAAAUCCCUAGGAAUGAAGGUUGCUAAUGCAGCGGAUAAGACUUGCGACUGAGUGCAAGUGAAUCAAGACUGUGGGUAUGUUGCUUCUCCUCGCCCAACAGUGAUUCAACGGGUAUGUUGGUUCUCCUCGCCCGGUAUGUGGAAUGGCUAAUGAGAAUCAUAAUUGCGGGUACGUUGGUUCUCCUCGCCCGUUGGUUCUCCUCGCCAGGCACAAGUAUGUUGGUUCUCGUCGCCCGGUAUGCCAUGAGAAUAGGGACGCGGGUAUGUUGGUUCUCCUCGCCAGUAGGUCCAUUGAGCGACUUGUGGUCCGGGGUUCGAUGGUGUAUCCUCACCCUGUGAGUAGACCUAUAGUCGAGAGGAUUUAAGGCUGAGGUGCAUAUGAGACUUCCUUCGCCUCGAGCUUGACAGAGCGCAGACUAUCCGCGGUGGAUUGACUCAAGACCAAGUCGAGUGGAUAGUUCGCUAAGGUGAAGUGACCUUAGGAAAGUAUGAUAAAGAAUAAAGAACAGCUAAUGCUAAAGAAUUGUAAGUAAUAAAGAAUGGCUAAGAAUCAAGAAUUGCUAAGAAUCAAGAAUGGCUAAGGAUAAAGAAUGGCUAGCGUUAAAGAACAGCUAGUGUUAAAGAAUGGCUAAUAAUAAUGAAUGGUAAAUGAUAGAGAGUAGAAUAAAUUAAUCUACUUAUAUGACUUGCAUGAUUUGCAUAUUGUAUAUUGUGAGGCAUAAACAUGAUAAAUAUUAGUUGCAUAAAUUAUAUAUAUAUAUAUAUAUAUAUAUAUAUAUACGUGGAUAUUUGUUGGACUAACAUGUUUGAAGUGCCUCCUUUGGACCUGGUGGGUCGAGCUUUUCCCUUGGGUGGCCGUAUCCACUGGGAACUAUAGACAAUAGCUCUCACCCCCAUGUUAUUUUUGGGGGUUACAGGUUCACACGUGAGCGGCACGGCGACGCGAGGCAAUGGCGUAGCUCCGUAAAUAACACCCUACCACCGAGACCAGAGAUAGUAGUACCCCGAGUAGGCUUAGAUAGGGGUAUAGAAAUGAAAACAACAAUGUUGUAAUAAAUUGUAGUAACUUGGAUUAUAUUUGGAAGCUAAUUGAGAAUUGAAAAUGUAAUAUGUAAAAUGUAUGUAAGUUGAAUGCUUGUAAUAGCAUAGUAUUUAUGUUUUCAUACCUUCCUUAUGCAAUCUUUGUUGAAUGCUUUUCCUGGUUGGAACCUCGCACAUUGUAUGGAUUGUGACGCCUUGGACGUACAGGAGAAACCCUGUGUGUUCGGCGGUCUGUUGGCGUGCCCGAAUCCGACCAAAGAGGCGGGCUCGGGGCGUGACAAUAAUUUUUUGGUAAAAAUUGAGAGUUAUAAACUAAUUUUUUAUACAUUUUAGGAGCUAAUUUUGUGGCUAUCGUUCAGACUAGGAGAGCCGUAGCAUAUCAUCUGACUAUUUCGACUGUCGUCCUAUUUUUUCGGUUUGUGAUAUAGGUGGGCUCCGUGUUGUCAAAAUUGACGGACUAAUUUCUAAGUCCAUAUUUUAUUAUUUAACCUGUGAAAUGAACUAUUGACAUAGUUGAAAUAAUAGUGAUAGUUUGACAUCUGCUAGUAGAAUAAAUUGAGAUAUAUAUAUAUAUAUAUAUAUAUAUAUAUAUAUANAAAUUCAAAUUCAAAAUUCUAAUUUCUAGUUAGUUUAAAAUUUUAAUUUUAAUAUUAUUUUUUAAUUUAAAUUUAAAAUUUUGAAUUUUUUUAGGGGCUAAAAUGAAAAAUGUGCAAAGUUUAGGGACCUAAAUUGAAAUGCCAAGGGUUUAUAUAUAAUUGUUCCAUAUUUAAUAGAAUAAUUAUUUAUUCAAUCUUUUUUUUAUAUAGAUGAAUUAUUGGUUUUGGUUUAAUUUUAGGCUGCGUUUAUUGGGGAUAUGAAUAAUUUUAUUUUUCUCUUUAAUUUAUUAAAUAAAUAGAUAUAUAAAUAAAUAUAUUAAUGUAAAUAUUAUUUUUAUUAUAACAUAUUUUUACUUAAAUCUUAGUAUAUAAUAUUAAUAUAAAUUAACUAAAUGUGAUAUACUAUUUAUUUUAUUAAAUUUUAUCAAUUUAUAUAUUAAUAUUUAAUUAUUUUUAUAUACUAUAUAUUUUUAAGAAUUUGUAUUGAAAUUUAUAAUAUUAUUAAUUAAAAUUAUAUAAGUAUAUUGCUAGUAUUAUAUUUUAUUCAUUACAUAUAUGAUAGAUAAACUAUAUUAAAUAAAUUGUUAAAAUAAAAUAAAUGAAAGAUACUGAUAUAAAUUAAAUUAUUACAUAAAAUAUUAUAAUAUUAUACAUUAUUAUAUAAAUUAAUCUAUAAAUAAUUUUAUAUAAAAUAUACUGAUACAAAUUAAUUAUUUUAUUUCUUGACCAUAUUUAGAUAUUGUUUUAGAAUUUUUUACAUAAACGUUUCUAAAGAUAUCAUCUAAAAUAUCCCUGAUUGCAUCCAAAUAUAAAUUUAUAAUUAUUAUAAAUUAUACCGAAAUAUUUUAUAUUCUCGGAAACAACAAAAAUUAUCAUUUAAAAUAAAAUUUAGUUCGUGAACUAAUAAACACAGUCUCGGGUUUUAAAAUAUUGUGAAGUACUAAAUUGUAAAUUUGGGAUAGUAGAGGGACUAUCCACACAUUUUACCCCUUAAACAGUUGAUGAGAGACAAAAGGGGAGGUGGAGACCGCGGAGACGCGAACGAGGCGAUUAUUCUGUUCGUUCGCAUAUAUGUACUUAUGCGGAAUUAAGGUGCGAAGGGAUUAGAUGGAUUUGGGCGGAGAAUGGACAGUUUAGAUGACAGCUGAGGAUGCAGUCGUAUGCGACUGUUUCGUAUGGAAGUGUUGCCACGGACGUCAAUGGAAUAUUAAUUUGGAGUUUGGGGUGAGUUUCGAGUCCGGCCUAAAGCCCAUUUAAAGGCCCAAUUGAAAUGAGUGGGGAAACAAUUGGGCCUAUAUACGCUUUGGGCCUUGGUUUAGAGUUUAUUGCUAUUUAGGGGUGAGCACUAUUUGGUUCAAACUAUAGUUAGUUAAUUCGAAUUCGGCAAAAAUUCGGUACGGGUAUAACACGCAUAAAAUUUAUUUUUAAAUUUUUAAAUUUGUUGAAAAAUUCGGCUUAAAAAACGAAUUCGGUAUAAAAUAUAAAAUAUAAAAUAUAAGAUAUAAGAUAUAAGAUAUAAGAUAAUCUAUAUUAAACAUAAAAAUUAUAAGUUUUUUAUUUAGAUUUUCAAUAAUUCGCGAAUUAUUCGGCUGGCCCAAAAAUUCGCAAAUAAUUUUCUUUCUUUGUAAAAAAAUUCGUAAACGGACCGUUUAAUUCGAAUUUUGAAUAAUUUGUGUAUAAUUCGCGAAUUAACUAAUAAAGGUUUAAACCUAGUUAUCGAACGGAACUAAUCAAAAUUAGUCAACUUAGUUUGAUUUGACACAUAAUUCGGUUUGGUUCAAUUCUCAAAGUGAAAAAGAUUGGAAAAAUUGGAUAAAUGGAAUAUAUCAAAAUUUCAGUAAAUUCAAUAUAUAUUAUAUAUGUGUACUAACUUUAAAUAAUAAUAAAAUAAUUAGAUUAAUAAUUUUAAUAUAAAAUUAAUUGCAAUUAUAUCUUAUUUUCAGUAGUUUAAAAAAAGAGUCGUGCUACCCAUACACCCCAUUUAGAGUUGUAGAUCCUACAACUCCUUGAUCUAACGGCUGAUAUAAACUUGGUUUGAAAAAAAAAAAAACCAGUGUUAACCUCACUUCCACAUUUUAUCCCCUCACGUUUUCCCUCUUUUGCCCUAAAUUUUGGCGCCAGCGUGCUAAAGAGAGAGAGAGGCGAGCGCGGUAGCGUGAGAGAGAGAGGCGAGCUCGAGCGGGAGCGGGAGCAGGGCGCGAGAGAGAGCGAUAAGCGGGAGCGGGAGCAGGGCGCGAGAGAGAGCGAGGGCAUGGCGCGAGAGGGAGCGAGAGGAGUUGUGCUCUGCUAGAAACAGGGAGAACGAGAGGAAGAGAAAGAAGCGCGAAGGUGGAUUCUGCGAUCAAAUUGGACGCGGCAAGUACGGAGGCGACAAUCGAGCAUGCGGCAAAAUUGAACGACAUGGUUUACCCCGAGCACAACGAUUCANUAUGUAUAUAUGUAUAUAUAUAUAUAUAUGUAUAUAUAUAUGUAUAUAUGUAUAUAUAUAUGUAUAUAUGUAUAUAUAUAUACAUAUACAUAUAUACAUAUAUAUAUACAUAUAUACAUAUAUAUAUAUAUAUAAUGUGUGUGUGUGUGUGUGUGAGAGAGAGAGAUAUUUUUCUAAAGGUCAGUAGACAGCUACAAAUAGUGCAGACUAUAACUGUAAUUUGGACAGCAUGACAGUAUUAUCAUGAUCUGUUUGAUCAUCGUAUUUGACCACCGCCUGCAUGCUAUAUUAAGUUUGACAGUGAAACUAUACUCAGUUGGAGUAGCGCCCCAGGAGUGCCACUCCGGAGGUUGGGCUAUAAAAUAUUAUUAUGGCAUAGGCCAGACAGUAGAUUGCUUGGUAGCGGACCACUAUAGCUGGGUGCUGGGCACGAGACGGUGCUGGUUAGACCUGACUGUGGAGUCGGUCACUAUGAUUGGACAUUGUUGCAGUAUUUUAUUUAGUCUCUAAUUGAUGCAUGCAAAAUAUAAUUUACAAUUUCAAAUAAAUUGUAGAGGCAUGAUAGUAGCAGUUAUUUUCAGCGAUCAUUCAUAUUAGUACAUGUUCCUUCAUAUUACUCAGUAUUUACUAUUUUUGCUUCUUAUGGAGCUAGUUGUGUAGGCCGUCGACGUUGACGAUCGUACCCACUGGGAACUAUUGAUUAUAGUUCUCAUACUCUUUUAUUUAAUAUUUUAUUUCAGAGCGUUCGGCACUAGUGACUGAUCGAGAUAAGGGGAUCGGGAAUAGUUAGCAUCUCCUACCCUUCUUGUGUGUGUAGUUGGACCACCUAUUAGUGAGCAGUCUGUACAGUGUUUUGAUGCUUGGAGUGGUCAGAGAUGUUGUACUAUUUUAAAGAUUGGUGUGGUGAUGAUUGUAGAUCGUUACAAUAUUGCUAUAGUAUAUAAUUUUAUUGUUCCUCUGAUACCUAUCAUUGUUAAAUUUUAGUUAAUUUUGUUGAACAAAUUUUGUUGACUCUUCGUAUGUAUAAGAUGUAUCCUUGUACAUGCGGGCGGGUUUGUUGAUGUACGUAGCCCGAACUUUUGCUGUAAUCUGAGGCGUGACAGAAUGGUUCACCGUGUUCAACUUAUUCUAGCUCCACCUAGCCUGCUCGCAUGCAUGGCGCUGAUAUAGCCCCUACGUAGCAAAGAUAGGGUCAAAAUUUCAAUUAUAAAUUUGGCGGGGCUAUUUGUGAAAAUAAUUUUGAGUCGUGCUACCCAUACACCCCAUAUUGAGUUGUAGAUCCUACAACUCUUGGAUCCAAUGGGUGAUAUAAACUUGGUUUUUUUAAAAAAAAAAAAAACAGUGUUAACCUCACUCCCACAUUUUAGCCCCUCACCUUUUUCUCUUUUUCCCUAAUUUUUGGCGCCAGCGAGCUAAAGAGAGAGAGAGGCGAGCGAGCCAGCGACCUAAAGAGAGAGAGGCGAGCGAGCGAGCGACCGAGAGAGAGCGAGCGACCGAGAGAGAGAGGAGAGCUCGAGCGAGAGCGGGAGCAGGGCGCGAGAGAGAGCGAGGGCAGGGCGCGAGAGGGAGCGAGAGGAGUUGUGCUGUGCUAGAAAUAGGGAGAAUGAGAGGCAGAGAAAGAAGCACGAAGGCUGAUUCUGCUAUCAAAUUGGACGCGGCAAGUGCGGAGGCGACAAUCGAGGAUGCCGCAAAAUUGAACGUCGUGGUUUACUCCGAGCACAACGAUUCGUACACUGCCACAUAUAUAACCAGGUAUGAGAUGUUUAAUUUUUUAGUAAAUUAAUAAUUUUUAAUUGUGAUGAAUUAUUUGAUCAAUUUUAUCACUGAUUUGAUGUAUGAUCUAUAUGUUAAUAGAUAAUAUAUUUUUAGGGCAUAGUAGAAUCUUUAGAUGUCUAAAUUUUGACAAAUAGUUUUUCCUGCUCACUAUUAUUCUAAUUUAGUAUUCCAACUCUAUAUAAUGUCUUACAGGUGAGCAAUUUACUUAAAUUUGUUUAGUUGACUGAUUAUUUGGAUUUAAUAUUUUUGAGAUGGAUGAAGAAAGACACAGUGAGAUCAGGGAUGUAAAUAUAUCGGCACCAGAAAUUAGAAUGGCUUUUAUCAAUUUUGAUGCCGUUUUUAAUUUCUAUAAGCAUUAUGCACAAGAAAUAGGAUUUGCAGUUGUAAAGAGGUCAACAAAAAUGACAGAUGGCAAGGCUACAUAUGUAAUAAUCGCAUGCUCUCGUCAUGGAAAAAUGCAUCGGACCGUAACGAAUAUUCGUCCUCGUCCAUCGGUAGCAAAGACAAACUGUCCUGCGAGAAUAAAUGUAGUAAUAAAUGUGGAUUCAUCUUGUGUAAUAAGCAAAAUUACACUUGAGCAUAAUCACACUCUUAAGUCCUUAUAAGUCUUGAUUUUUUCCCUGCAAUCGAGUUAUAGAAACAAGCGUCAAGAGGCGGCUUGAUCUUAAUGAUCGUGCUGGAAUAAGAUUGAAUAAAAGUUUUAAUUCUAUUGUUGUUGAGGCUGCUGGAUAUGGAAACUUAACAUUUGGAGAGAAGGACGCUCGUAAUUAUAUUGAAAAAGCCCGUCGGUUACAACUUGGUGAAGGUGACGGCGAAGCAAUUUGUAAUUUUUUUAGAGAAAUGCAAGAGAGAAAUGAAAACUUUUUUUAUGCCAUAGAUCUAGACGAUGAUUCUCGGCUUCGCAAUGUGUUUUGGGCAGAUGCUCGGAGUAGAGCGGCGUAUGAAUGUUUUGGAGAUGUAAUAACUUUCGACUCGACAUAUCUAACAAAUAAGUACGAUAUGCCAUUUGCUCCUUUUGUUGGUGUUAACCAUCAUGGACAGUCGAUCUUGUUGGGGUGCGGCCUACUCUCCACUGAAGAUACAGAAUCGUUUGUAUGGCUCUUUCGGAAUUGGUUGUCAUGCAUGUCCGACCGUGCCCCGAAAGCAAUAAUCACAGAUCAAGAUAAAGCGAUGCAAAAUGCUAUCGCACGUGUCUUUCCUAAUACUCGGCAUCGAUGGUGCUUAUGGCACAUAACAAAAAAGAUACCGGAAAAGCUAAGAAGCUAUGGCGAAUAUCAUUCGAUGAAGAGCGUGAUGAUGGAUGCUAUUUAUGAAUCAUUGACAGAAAUUGAAUUUGAGAAAAAAUGGAAGAGAAUGAUAGCUUGUUAUGCACUUGAAAAUAAUCAGUUGUUGUCAGGCCUGUACGAGGAAAGACAUAAGUGGAUACCAGCUUAUGUGAAGGAUACAUUUUGGGCUGGAAUGUCCACAACACAGCGUAGCGAAAGUAUGAAUGCAUUUUUUGAUGGGUAUAUGAACUCGAAAACUUUAUUAAAAUAAUUCGUUGAGCAAUAUGAAAGCGCAAUAAAAAAUAAAGCUGAAAAAGAAGUAGAAUUAGACUACAAAUCAUUUAGCUUAGUCAUCCCGUAUAUCAGCCGUUAUGCAUUAGANCGGCAUAGAUUUCGGUAUGAUGUAUGGAUCCGUUUGCAUGGCUUACCACUCCAGUGCGACAGGUAUCAAGAUUUACAAACUAUUGUUUCAAGUUUUGGAGAAUUUAUAGGUGGAGAUGAGAGAAGCCGGCUUCGUCAAGAUGUAAUGUUCUAUCGGUUGUUGAUCAAAUGUGCUGACCUCCUAAUGAUUCCUGAACGUAUUACGCUCGUGUUGGGAAAUCGGGAAUGGAAAAUAAAUGUUGAAGUAGAGUCAUGGGAAUAUCACCACUGGACCGGCAGCCCUUAAUGUGCUGCCAAUGCCACCUAACUGUGCGUUUUGCGGUGGUAUAUUUCGCAAGAAAGUAGUCAUAAUUUUGUUAUUUUAUUAAUAUGGUGUGUACAUGCAGUGACAUCAUGUACACUUAUUGUGUG